UAACAAUCACUUUGGUCUUGGCUGGUAUCGCAUAUCCAUUAAUUUCACAUCUCUCCCUACUUUCUCUUGGAAGUAGCAAAGGUACAGGAGGGUGUAAUCUUAGAGUUUCCUUCAUAACUAACUUCAAGUACUUCAAUUCAUGAAGGUCUGCUUCGUUGACAUCCCCUGUUCUAUCAUAGACUUGCCUCACCUCGGCUUGUGCUUUUUCAAGGAUUCUAGGAUUUUUUAUCAUUUCCGACAUUGCCCAUUCUACUGCAGUUGAAGAUGUCUCAGUUCCAGCAAUGAGCAUGUCCUGGAAAGAAGUUAUGCUUAGCUAAAACCACAGAACAUCUUUAUGCACAUAAAUAAACACGCAAUAUAUGAAUCUACUAACCAGGAUAACAGCUUUGAUAUUUUCAGUUCUUAAGGGAAAUUCAAGGCCUCCGUCAUCCUGGAGAUUCAGAAGAACAUCAACGAGAUCAUCGGUUACGUCAUCACUGUCUUUGGUAUUUGCAUUCCUGGCUCUAUGCUCUUCAAUGAUGCUUUCAAGCAUCGCGUCCAAAUCCUGGUGCCACCUCUCAAGUUUGGCUCUCAUCCCACUAAUCAUGGGAAGCAAUUUGAUGGAAGGAAACAGAUCAGUAAUACUAAAACCACCCGCAGCUUCCACCAGGUUCCUCGCAAUUGAAAUGAAUGCAUCAUGUUGCUUGCAUCUUGCGGCGAAAGCAGUCCUUAGAGUGAUGUUAUAUGAUGAGUUGCAUAACAUUUCUCCAAGGUUGAUUUCCAAUCCUGUAUUAGAAUAGAUGGAUCGAAUUAAACUUGAUACCUGCUCUUCUCUGAUUGAUCGGAAGGAUUGUACACGUUUCAUACUUAACAGCUCCAAUGUGCAAACUUUUCGAAGCUGCCUCCAAGUGUCUCCAUACGGUGCAAAACCAAUAUCAGAAAAAUUAUACCCUAUGAUUUCUGCAACAAGGAGAUAAGGCCUGGUAGCAAAAUUUAUAUCAUGUGUUUUCAUCACUUCUUUAGCAGCCUCUGGAGAAGAAACAACAAUGUGUGAUAAUUCACCAAGCUGUAGGUGCAUCAGGGAACCAUGCCUUUUGGCUAAUUCGGUCAAGCGGUGAUGGGGGAGAGAAAACAUUAAAAGGUGCAAAUGGCCUACUAGAGGUAGCUUCCAUGGUGCAGGGGGUAGAUUCUUGGGCGAGUUCUUUAUUUUGGAUCUCAUCCAUAGCUUCAACACCAUGAAAAUGAAGACAAGGAAGGUGAAGCACAAUGGGAGCAGCUUGAAUUGGUUAUCCAUGGUAAGAACUAUACAAAACUGUUAUUUAUACACUUGCAGAAUCUUGAUACCUGCUUGUCUGUCAAAACUGACAUUUUGUAUGGAUGGUUUAAAUAAACAUAAUCUUCCUUACCAGCACAUGCAAAAAAUCAAUUUCUUUUAUAGCUAGAAUCUCGGAAUAUCGUAUAAGAGGCAUAACCAUGGAGAAUCCUUUUCUUUUAUCAAUAUUUCACGUGUCUUCAUUAAUGCAACUUGGUUUAAAUAUUUAUAGCAGAGAUUUAUAAUGAUACACCAGCUAAGAUACUUGAACUCUUUUAUGUUAAGCAAACUACCCAAAAGAGCAAUUGAAACUGAUAUCCGGUAAAAUACAGUUGUAUUCCAAUUAAAUGGAAGAUAGGUUUAAAAAGAAAAGGCAUAUCACAUAGUAACAACCAUUGAAGAUAAAUAGAUAAUACUCGACUUCUAAAAUGAAAGAAAAACUCAUUUUGGACUAAAGAUAUAAAAGUGAGGCAUCUAUAUAAUCUGCAUAUAAGGCAAACCAUCUUAAAAUUUCAAGCAGACUCAUAGAAAAACAUGCAUGCAGCUCAAACUUCAAGCAUUAUUAUACUAACAUUAACUGAAUCUCACAACUUUUCAGUACCUGAUAUGUCAACAUUGCGACACCAAAAAGACAUUGAACUGAUCAAAAGACUUCUGGUAUUCGAAGGUAUUUCAGGCAACACCUUUAGAUUUCUGUUAGACAACCAUUUCUUUCGAGUAUGAAUCCCAAUCCAUGUUCUAUGAUGAACAAAGACGAUCUUUAAAAUCAAGCAGCAGAGUUUCCUGUCGUCUAACUAGAUGAUACACAUCAUCAUUAAAUUAAUAAGGUAUAAUGUUAAAUUUAACCCUUAAUAUUUACAUCUUCUAUCAAUUUCACCCUUAUUCAUUUUUAGCUAAAUUUAAUCAUUAAUAUUUCGAAAAGAGUCAAAUCCCUUUUUCUAGAAAAUGAAAAUACUGACUAAAUAUUUUUCUUUUAGCGUGUUGGCAUGACAACCAAUAAGGCAACCCACAUGUAGUUUGUAUCGACAUAACACAAUUUGUUAUAUGUCAUGUUAAUAAAUAAUUUAAAAAUUAUAAAAAAUUAUUCAAAAAAAGUUCAACAGGUAAAAGAAGCUCAUAAAAAUUUUAAAAGAAACAUGAAAGUACAUUUAAAUUAUCAUGCGAGGUGCAAUGUUUAAAAUUUUAACAUUUUAGUCUGUAUUUCUACUAAAAGUUAAUUUAACUCUUUUUAAAAGGUUGAUGUCAAAUUUAAUUUAUUUUUAAAAAUGUUAAAAGUUAAAUUUAGUUUAAAAAUAAAAUAAAAACUUAAAAGCUAAAUUUAACAUUAUGCCGAUUUAAAAUUAAAUAAAAUUGAUAAUUUUUAAAAUUCAAAAAGUAUAUGGACUUAGAAUGACCCAAUUAAAGUAAGUAGGCUAAAUCUACUACCAUGCACAUAUUAGAGUACUAGUAAUUAAACUUAACUAUAUGGAUUUAAUUGCUACUGAACCAAGAUUAAAAAUUUAAAAUUUGAUGAAUGUAAGAACUAAAUUUACUAAUAUAAAAAAUAUAAAAACUAAAAUUAAUCAAAUAAAAGUAUAAAAAUUAAAUUCAUAACUUUCACAAAAUAUAAAUUUAUCCCAUUUUUUAACAUGCUCCAAUCACGUGUUGCAAUUUAAGGAGGCAUUUGAAAAGCUUAUCUCUAGUACUUGCUGCACUGACACGCUAUACGUCUUAAAUUAGGCUUGUGAACUCAAUUAUUGGGAAUAUGAAAACAACCGCUGCCGUGCAAAAUGAGACCUUACAAAUAUAUAAACUUAUAAGUUUUAAUAACUCUCAAUUUUAGAGUUUAGGGGUAGGUUAUGCUAUCAAUUACAUUUCCAAUUGUAACUUAAAAUAAAAGUUGAUUGGAUAAUAUAAUUUUUCUUGUUUAAUUGAUAUUUGAUGUUUGAAGACUUUUAAUUACUUAUUAGAAAAGAUUUUACAUGUAAGAAUUAAGUUAAAUAAAUAUUGGAUUCAAUCUUUUAAUAUAAUUGGAGUUCCUUAAAAAAUUUUCAUCUUUAAGGAGUUUGACAACUAGAUCUUUGUCAAAUAUUCACUUUAUUGAAAAAAAUUUAAAAUUAGUAUUUAGUAGAAUUAGAUAUCGAUGAUAUUGAUUAUACUUUAACAAGCAUAUUUUUAUGGAAACAUAUUCUAGAGGGCUUGUUUAGAUUAUGAGAACUACAUAGAGCACUUCAUUUUGCUCAUUUAGGAAUAGUUUUUUUGUGCAAAAAUUGUAAGUAAAUUUAAUUGAGUUCAUCACUCCAUUUACAUCAAAGCUUUCAAGGAAAUUUCUUAGAGUGAGAGUAAUCUACGUUGUAGUAUAUAUGUGAGUUGCAAUUUAGUGAGUGAAUUGAACAUAAAAGACACAUUGUACUUGAUUAUAUAAAAUGCUACUCUUUGGGCAAUGCCUCGUAGACGUAAGAAGUUUUCAAACUGCGUAAACAAAUUUAAGCUCAUAUUUCGGGCCACAUCGGGUUUGAUCUUGUAACACCCCAAAAAUCCCUUAUAUUUAUUUUUGUAUGUUUGUGACACAAAUAUAUGUCUGCUUUGGUGGUUAUGUGUUCUGGGAGUGUUUGAGAAGUUUUGGGUUCAAGUCUUGACUUGGGCAAAUUUUUUUGUUUUAAAUGAAUAAAGCCCUAUCUCUAGAUAGCGGGCUUUUAAUUAAUUGUUUGUAGAAACAUGUAAAAAAUGGGCUUACUAUCUGGUGGCUAAGUGGUGGAUUGGUGUCCUGAAGGUCAGGAGUUUGAGGCUCAGCCUGAACAAAGUGUUUAAUUUUUAUUGCUUAGCCGUAGAGGUGUUGUAGUUUGACCGAAAUUUGAGUGUUUGAGGAAUGUGGGGAUGUGUGGCCAAUUUUUAGGAGGUUAGUGAGGGGGGAUUUCGGUUAUUAAAGGGUUUGGAUAGUGGGUGGUUGGAGAAUGUGGUGAGAGGUUGUGUUGAAUGGGUUUUCUUUUUUAAAAUUUCAGCACCCUCUCCUCAAGAUUUCCCAAGUUGUUGGCGGCAGAUCCUUUCCCCUCUUGGACGGAAUUUCUCCUAAGUGUUCCCUUUCUUUUCUUCUCUUUUUGCAAAUUCGGUUUUUGUUUUGUUUUUCCUCUCAAAUCCCUAUCGGUCAUUCCUAGUUCUUUGAACUAAUUUCAGUAGUUGUUCUUUUUCUCUUUUCUCUACUGAUUGUGUUUCCUCUUAUCUCCCCCUUUGUUACUGCCGAAAUUUCAUUGAUUUUUGCUAAGUUUUGAGCGUUUAUUCCUCCUUCUUUUCUGACCAUUUGUUUGUCUUUCAUCUAUUCGUAUUGGGCAGUGAGAAAACGUUCACCACUUUACUCUUCCUUUGGCCGAAUCUUCUUUAUCCUUCCACCCUUUUAUUUCUCCUUGUCUUGCUGAUUCUUUUCUUCCUUGUGCAGCCGACUGUGUUCCUACCUUUGUUCUCUAGUGAGCAUUCUUUAUCUUCUGUUAAGUUCUUGCUCUUGGAAGUUGGUUUUCUUAUCGUUAUUGAUGGUAAGGGUAAAUAGUAUAGAGUUAGCUUUUUGCUUGCUGGAUCAAUGCUUACCUGUUUUUGGUUGGUGCUUAGGAACUGAUUCAAGGGGUGAAAGAUCAUUAAUUGGCGUUAAGUGGGCAAAUCUUCCUUCUUUACUCGUUUAAAGGUAACGUUGUUGCUAGUUAACGCUCGGUUAACCCGUAUGUUUUUGAUUGAGUAAGAGUACAAGUGAUUAAUUGAUGAUUGUUUGGUCAAAUGUAGGUUUCAAAGGCUCGGGAUUUUUCCUUCUCAGCGAAUAGAAACCAGGUGUGUAAUCACAUCACUGUAAACACUAGCCGAUGAAAAGCCAAAAAAUAGGACUGACGACGCCACACGAGCGUGGGACAGCUAGUGUGGCAGGCCGUGUGAUCGAACGUGGGCGUGUGAUCGACGAGGCUGGCCAUGUACAAUUCAUGGGUCGGACCGGAUUGGGUCGUGUGGGCAACACGGGCACGUGAGCCUCACACGGGUGAACCACACAAGCGUGUGGGAAUAUUAGGCCAAGCCGUGAAUCCACACGGCCAAGGCCAUUUUGGGCCGUGUGGGCCACACGAGCAUGUGGGCCCAUAUGGGCAUGCAAUGUAGGCCGUGGGCCCAUUUUCACUAUUUGACUGCUAAGGUUGCACAGGUCGCCCAAGUUGACUGUGGACCUACUAUAGGGUCGGUAAGCUUACCUAGACCCCUAAUUGAAUGAAAUGACCGAAAGACUGUUAUAUGCCUAUAUGAGAUAGAUAUGUGUGUCUGUAUGUUGAGCAUGCUAUUCACACUGCACUGAUUAUACAUGGUACCAUGACAUGUUUGUAUGAUGCAUUGUAUUGGGUUGGGGAUUGAUAUUGAUUGGAGGAAGUGUACUGAAAGGCUUCAAGCCUAACUUACUGCAACUCAGCUGCAACUACUGUCUAGUGCCGUAUUCGGUACUAUUUGGAGUGUAGGGAUGGGUGGGUGGAUUAUACCCCUACAUGGAGUGUAGGGUUGGACGGAGAUGAAGUGUAGAGGUUGGUUGAGUAGGAUUUUAUAACUACAUAACUGUCACUGUUACUGUAUUGUGUUGGGCUAAGGCCCUAAUGCUUACUAUUACUGAAAUGGGCUAAGGCCUAAACUGAUACUAAUACUGAUAUUUAAAAGGGUUUAGGCCCAAACUGAGAUUAUCUGCUAUUAUUUGUUUGUUUGAAUGGGGAUUACACACUGAGUUUACGUAAACUGACCCCUUCUGUUUAAUCUGUACAGGUAAUCCUCAGAUAUAGGUGGAUCAGUGAGGCGGAAGACUCAGCGGUGGCCACACGACUCCUUUUUGAUAUUUGAUACUUAUUUACGAUUUAAAGUUUUAUUUCGGGGUAGUUUUCUAUAAUAAUGGCCUCUAUGGAUUUUUACCUAAAAUUCGGAUUUCAUACUGUUUUCUGUUUAUAUCUACUAGAAGUAGGUAAAACUGAUGUUUUCAAAAGAGAUGAAUGUUUUAUCAAAAUACCAUGCACACGCAAACUAUUUUAAAAGCUUCAGCAAAGUAUAACAUUUUGGAAAUGAAUCACGAUUUGAGAAUUAAUGAAAGAUAAUGAUAAACUCUAAAAGGAAAACGGUUUUAGCAAUGAUACAGCUUUCAAACGCACUUCCAUGCGACAUCGCCAGAUUCGACCAUAACGUUCAGGCCGGGUUUGGGGUGUUAUAGAGCUAGUAUAAAGUGUAUUAAUAACAUAUUUAGAUUCGACAUAACCCAUGAAUCCUCUAGUUGAGAGGUGAGGGAUUUAUUUUCAUGAUUGAGUUCAUUUUUAUAUAUAUUUCAUCUAUAAUCUAUAAUAUAUAUACACAAGCACGACUUUGGAAAAACUUUUGAAUUAAUAAGAAUACCCUUUUAUUUUUCACUAUAUUACUAAAUUAACAAUUAAAAAUAAUUAUGAUAAUUACUUUAGAAUUAUUAAUUUAAAAAAAAGUUAGAAAUAAAAGGGAGUCAAUGCAAUGUUUGUUGCAUUAUAAGCUAAACUAGUAGAAGAAAAUAGAGAAGACCUACUCACGAAAAUGAUGUCAUGGGUUCUUAUCACUUCUGCAACAGUUUGUAGGCAAUAAACUACGAUGCUUGGAAGUUCUCCAAGAUGAAGAUGCAUUAAUGAGCCAUAUAUCUAUUGAUGUAUUUUGAGUUUGAUAUUGGAAAUCAGAUAUAUGUUUUGUGUGCCAGUUGCUUUAAGCCGUUAGUAGUAACUAGUAGUUGUUUUAAGUUUAGUUUUUCCACUGUAAGCUUCUUUUACUUUAUUUUUUUUACUCUAGUGUUAGGCAGGUGUAAAACCUUUUUUUAAUUAAAAGAACAUGUGUGUAUGAAGGUGAAUAAACAACCUUCUCUAUUAUUCUCAAAAAAUUUAUUUUUCUUCUCUCUUAUUCUCUUCCUCUAUUUGUAACAAAAACUACACCAAUAGUGGUAUUCGGAGCUUCUUCUUGAGGGCUGUGAGGUUUUACAUAUAUUUUUGAGUGAUUUUAAUGGCCUUUUCUAAUACUCUUUCAACAUCUGUUCCUAUUUUCACAAGAACUCAUUAUCAUGUUUGGGCUGUCAAGAUGAAAGUUUAUUUGAGAUUUAUUAGCUUCUGGAAGCUUGUAGAAACUUAUGAAGAUCCAUCAGCAUCGAAACAAAAUCCCACUAUUGCUCAACUCAAAGCUUACGAUGAACAAAUCUUGAAAAAGGAUAAAGCUUUAACAUGUAUUCACUCCGGGUCAGUAGAUCACAUUUUCACAAGCAUUACGGAUCUUGGAACACCAAAGGCUAUUUGGGAUAAACUCAGACUUUAUGGUGAAGAUCUAUCUGAUGAAAAGGUGGUUGAAAAAGGCAUUAUCAGUGUUCCUUAAAGAUUUGAAGCCAAAAUUUUAGCUAUUGGGGAAUCUUGUGACAUGAUGAGUCUAACUAUUAUUGAUCUUGUUAGCAAGCUAGAAGCGUGAGAACAAAGGGUUUCUAUGCAAGCCCAUAAGGCAAGUGAAAGUGCUUUUAUUGCUGCUUACAAAGAAGUAAAGUUCAACAACUUCGAGAAUAAAUUUGAAAGCUCAAGCAAGGGUAAAGUUGUUGGUUCUUCCACUAGUGGUCAGAAUGGAAAAUUUCCACCAUGUCCUAUUUGUAAGAGGACAAAUCAUGCUAAAAAGGAUUGACGAUUCAAGGAAAAAGACAAGUCCAAAUUUCAGUGUAUUUUUUGCCAAAAGUCUGGACAUACUAAAGAUUUUUGUUGGGUCAAGAAGAAGCAAGCAAAAAACCAUGUCCUAUUUGUAAGAGGACAAAUCAUGCUGAAAAGGAUUGUCGAUUCAAGGAAAAAGACAAGUCCAAAUUUUAGUGUAUUUUUUUGCCAAAAGUCUGGACAUACUGACAAUUUUAGUUGGGUCAAGAAGAAGCAAGCAAAAAACCAAGAUCAAUAGCAAGCAAAUGCAACUGAAGAGAACCAAGAGCAAGGUGAGCAUCUAUUUAUGGUUUCUCAUGUUGUUAAACCAUCUCAUAACUCUAUUUAGCUUGUGGAUAGUAGGUCUACCAAUCAUAUGAUGCUUGUGGCUAUUUACUUUAACUCACAUGAUAAGUCCUUUAAGAUAAAUGUGAAGUUGGGAAACGGUGUUACGGUUUAGGUUCAAGGAAAAGGUUCAAUUUCUAUGAACACUCUACAAGGUAAAAUGACAAUCGUUCUUUUUAUUCCUAAUUUAAACCAAAGUCUUUUGAGCAUUCCUCAUAUGAUUAAAAAUGGUUUUGGUGUUUAGUUUAAGGUAAUGUCUGCAACAUAUUUGAUGUUUAUAGUUCUAAGUUUGCUGAUUUGAAGAUGAAAAACAAUAGUUUUUAUUUGAAGCUUGAUGUUGAUUGUGAACAUGUGUGCUUUGCUAAGGAUGAUGUCAAUCCUCUUUGGCAUAAAAGGAUGGGGCAUUUUAAUCUUAGAACCUUGAAGUAUAUGCAGUCAAAUCAUUUUAUAACAUAUUUGCCUGAACUGAAUGUUUGUGAUGAUAAAUGUGAUAGUUAUCAACUUGGGAAGUCACAUAUGCUGUCAUUUUCUCAUGAUGGUGUAAAGAGAGCAACUAUGAAAUUAGAGUUAGUUCACUCUAAUUUGUGUGGUCCAAUGCAAACUUCUUCUAUGAAUGGUAGCAAAUCUUUUGUAUUGUUUAUAGAUGAUCUGACAAGGAUGUGUUAGGUGUAUUUAUUGAAGUCCAAGUUGAAUGUAUUGUCAAUAUUUAAAGAAUUCAAGAAACUCGAUUAAAAUCAGUGUGAUUGUAAGUUGAAGGUCUUAAGAACAAAUAAUGGUGGAGAGUAUGUGUCCAAAGAGUUCAAUUAUUUUUGUAGAAACUCUAGGAUUCAUCAUCAGCUCACUACUUCUUACACUCCUUAACUAAUUGGAGUUUGUGAAAGGAGAAAUAAAAUUGUUUUGGAGAUGUCAAGAUGUAUGGUUUUUGAAAAACAUCUUCUAAAUUUGUUCUGGGCAAAAGUUGUAUCAACAACUGUAUACUUGUUGAACAGGUUAGAAACUAAGGCUGUAGAUGGGAAAACUCCUCGUAAAGCCUGGUCUGGGUCUAAGCCUUCUGAGAAACACCUUAGAGUGUUUGGUUCUAUUUGUUUUAGCCAUAUAAUGAAAGGGCUUGGAAAAGAAUCUUUGUUGGUUAUUCUUCUCAAUCUAAGGGGUAUAGAGUCUUUAAUCUAAAAAGUAAGAAAGUUGUGGUGAGUAGAGAUGUCAUCUUUGAUAAAGAUUCUUACUGAAUGGGAGAAGAAUGAUGUGUAGAAGCAUGAUUGUGGGUUAAUGCCUGAAGAGGCUAUUAUAACUGAUUAUGAUGAACAUGGUGUGACUAGUAAUGAAUUUGGUGUAGCUGAUACAACUGAUGUUGAGGUUAUCAAAACUAAAUCCUUAGUAAAUGUGUAUGAGAGGUGCAAUUUUGUCUUUGAUGAACCAACCAACUUAAUUGAAGUUGUAAAGGUACCUGAAUGGAUUGAUGCAAUGAAGGUAGAAAUUUCUGCAAUUGAGAAAAAUGACACUUGGUUAUUGACUGAUCUACCUAGCGGUGAACAUGUUAUAAGUGAGAAGUGGGUGUAUAGGACUAAGUUCAAUACUGAUGGCACUAUGUUUAAGCAUAAGGCUAGGUUAGUCAUAAAGGGGUAUGCAUGAUAGGUGGAGUUGACUACGGUGACACUUUUGCACCAGUUGCUAGACACGAUACCAUCAAAUUACUUUUUGCUAUUUCAGGUCAAUUGGGCUGGAAUGUGUUACAUUUGGACGUAAAAUCAAUUUUCUUGAAUGGAGAGCAUGAAGAACAUAUCUAUGUUUGUUAACCUGAAGGUUUUGUGGUUGUUGGAAUGAACAUCAAGUGUACAAGCAUAAGAAGACUCUUUAUGGCCUAAAACAGGCACCAAAGGGCUUGUACUGCAAAAUUGAUUCUUAUUUGCUGAAGUUGGGUUUUGAGAGGAGCAUUAAUGAAGCUACUUUGUAUAUUAAAAAAGGUAUAGAUGCUGAUUUGAUUGUUAUUUCUCUUUAUUUUGAUGAUUUUUUGGUGAUGAGAAGUGAUAAAUGCCAAAAGCAACAUGUUUUAGCCUUAUUCUUAAUGCAAUUUUGGAUGAUUAUUCAAUUUAAAAUGGUGAAUUUUGUGCUUUUAAUCAUUUAAAUUCAUGUUUCUAUACUUAGGAGGGAAUUUGGAAGAAAAAUGAGCGAAAACUAGAAAAUUAGAGCAAGUUUCAGGAGCCACACAAGCUGGACCCUCCCACACGAGCUGGGCACAUAGCUGUGUACAUUUCGUGAAUCGCACUCCAAACAUGCGAAAAACGUAAUUUUUAGGUUUUUCCAGCAUUUUAAGACCUAUAUAUACCAAAUAUAAGAAGAGGGGAGUAAGCCGUCAAAGAAUAUUGAAGAAAACAACUCAGAAAACACCAUUGAAGUCGACUCUAAAGUAGAUUUCCAUCAAGAUUGAAGAUCUCCUUAAUCACAACAUUCCAAUCACACUUACCAUAAACUUGCACAUAAACAUCAUACCUCAUUCACAUAUAUUAUAUAAGUUGACUAUUUGCACUUAAGAUCAUAUUUUAACAUUUUACAUAUCAAAACAAUAGUAAUGGCAUAUAAGCCUAUUACAUGCCAUAUAAUCCAAAAUGAACGGUCCAAAAAUUGCCGAAAAUGAGUGGAUAGUGUGACUUGAAUGCCGGUUCGAUCGUCCAACCUUCAAAGUAUCUACAAGAACAAAAAAUAACACAAGUAAGCUCAUUGAAGCUUAGUAAGUUCGACAUACUAAAAUGAUAAAUCUUAACGAAGUAAGUACAACAAAUCAAAUAAUAAUACAACCAUAUGUGUUCCUUAUCAUCCACAAUCUUAACGGUGAAUUGUAAAAUUCAAUUCAGAACUCAAAUACAUGACAAAACCAUCAAAAAUCACUAAACAAGUUAACUUACCGAUAUUUACAAUCUGAUGAAUGAAUUACGGAUAAGAGUAUAUCGAUAUUCCAACUGAAACACACCAGAUGAUCAUAAGAGCUAAUCCAUCCGAAACACACCAGAUGCUCAUAAGAGCCAGUCCACCUGAUAACAUACCAAUGGCUCCAAAGAGCUAGUCCAACCGAAACACACCAAAACAUAGAGUAUAACACGAAAGUUCGCAAAAAAUUUUGACUCUCGAUCUACUCAGGAAACAUAUAUAUAUCACUCCAAAACAAUCUCCAUUCCAAUACCCUAUAACACCAUUUCUCGAUUGUACUCUAUUCCGCGUUCAAUCCAAUCCAAGUAGAGAAUUUCAAUAAUUUUUCCUUAAAUAACUUUACAUCAUUUAUAAUCAAAUAUAUAUCUUUCAUAUCAUAUUAUAUCAUCAAAAAUUUCAUAUAGAUGUUAAAUUCUACAUUGUACGAACUUAACUGAAUUGAAUUGUAGUAGUUGUAGAAGUUUAGGGACUAUUCUAUAAUUUUUCCUUUCCACGAGUAUCAACUGAGUCUUGACCUAAAAUGUAAAAUUCCUCAAUUAUUAGCUUAAAUUUCACAUUCCAAUUCAAUUUACAAUUUAUACCCUUUUAUUUUUUGAAAUUACACAAUUACCCUAAACUUUUACAACUUUUACAAUUUAGUCCAUUAACCCAAAAAUCAUCAAGUUAACCAUUUUUCUCAACUUAACAUUAUAGUUGAAUAUACUAGGCCCUUAAAUAGUCCUUAAUAAACAUCAAAUUCACUAUCAAACCCUAAAAUUUUGACAUUUUCACAAUUUAAUCCUAAAAUCAAAAUCUAACAAAAAUCACUUCACAAAUUCACCAAAUAACACAAUCAAAGCUUCAAAUACAUAGUUAUCAUAAAAAAAAAUUCAAGAUUCAUCAAUGAAAACUUCUAAAAUUUUUAACAGAUUCAAAAAUGAAGGUACGUGCUAGCUGGAUUUAGUUGCAACGAUAUCAAAAACAUAAAAAUUACCAGAAACGAGUAAAGAAAUCACUGACAUGCAAGGCUUUAUGUUUUGCUGAAUUUGAAGCUCCAAAAAUGAUGAAUUUCUCUUUAAAUUUUUAUGGAAACAUGAAAAAGAUGAUAGCAAAUUUUCUUUUUGUUUUAUUAAUCUUUAAUUAAUUUACUAAAGUACAAAUUUACCCUUAAUUAUAACCUUAUAAAUCAACAAUUUAAAAGCGUAUUAUUGUCCAUAAAUAACCUUAUGGACCAAUUAUUGCCUAAGUCCCUUUUCAUUUAAUAAUUAGACUAUCAAAUCAAUAGAAUUCAAUUGCACUAAAUUUUGCACAAUUUUCAAUUUAGUCAUUUUUCCUAAAUUAACUAUCUAAACGUUAAAAUUUAUUAACCAAAUUUUAAUAUGACCCUAAUACAUCUAUAAAUAUUCUAAAAAUAAUAUUUACAAGUUGAAAUGACAAAAAUUUGUGGUCUCAAAAUCACUAGUUCGUCACCAUUGAAAAUCGUGUUGUUACAUUUAUCAUUCCCCUUUUUAUUUUCUUUUUGUUGAGGGAUGAAAUUACUAUGGGUGAUGGGCUUCAAAAUCAAAAAAUAUAAAUUCUUACAACAAAAUAACAGUAAAUUGAAAUAUAGAGCAGUAGGGUCAAAUCCCCAAGGACUGGUUAUUUAAUUUCGCCUUUUCUCGUGACCAGAAUUACUGUCAUCGUAAUAGUUUUGCCCACAACCUGUGCGUUGCAAUGCUGGAAAAUAAAAAUGGGUUUUAGUUGAUAAAGAUAAUAAUAUUAAAAGAAAAGAAAAAUAUAUGUAUAUAAAAUAAAGUAAAAAAAAUGUGAUCGCACAAUAAAUCAAGCAAAAUAAAAUAAACUGGUAAAUAAAAUAUUUUUAAAGCUUAGCCUUAGCUUCAAUAUACUCCAAACACAAACCAAUCCUUGAAAAAUGGUUUUCCCCUUCCAACCGAUAAGUUGGUUAUAGCAAUCGAGGAUGCCUCAAACCGCCAACUCUUCUUCUCGUAGUCGCUUCCGGUAUGACCUGCAAAUCAGACCCUUAUCAAAAUUUUAACCACGUGGCACGUGCCUAUAAUUUAAGACUUCGAUAGCCUUGUGAUCUGAAAAGCCCAACUCAAAUUAACGGCCUCAUCUGUAUGAGUCAUUUAAAUUCGAUCACUAUUUCCCUUGUCGGAAUCCAACUAGCUUUUUCCAAUUGAACACGCCAAUUUGUUCGCGGCAUUUUGAAUACAGCACGGCUGACUCAAGUUCCCAAUUGUACGCCAAAUGAUUCCAACCCAACAUACAAUUUUUGAAUUGAAAUCAAAUCAACUUUAAGGGACGAAUUUGUACUAUCCCAUAUACCAGAGAGAUAGUGAAUACCAAGUCGCAAAGUAUUUAGUGUGGGUUCAUAUUUCACGAUUAUUUUUCGGAGCAAUAAUCAGACUAAAGCUAAAAAGAGGUUUAGUUAAGCAUGAAAUAAAUUGUGCUAGAUGGAGUAUGGAAGUGGUGGAAUUUGGAAAGGGGAAAGGCCUUGGAAGGUAAUUAAACAAAAAAAAUGUUGAAAGUAAAAGAAAUUUGAAACAGCAGAAUAGAGAGCACGGACGCAGAAAAGAAUAAAAAAGUAAAGAAUUGAUUCAUUCCAAAGCCAAGUCAGCCCAUGUAUUUAUACACAAUUCUAGUGCUAAAAUCUAGCUAAAUUUGCCUUAAAAAUUAUCACUAGAUAAAUCAAAAUUUAAAAAUCAAAAUUUAAACUAAAGAUCAAUUUUAAACUAAUUACAAAUUUUAACAAUAUCAAAAUAAUUUGAUUUUUAUCCAACCAAUUUCAAGUUUUAAAUUUUUAUCCAGCCAACUUCAAACCUUCAAUCUUUCAAUCUACCCUUCCUCUUUGCUUUUUGUUCCAAUUUAGCCCCUUUUUGUAAGAGUUUGAAUUCAGCACAUCAACUUCCUUCCUGAUAAGAAAAACCCAAAUUUAAUAGCAUUUUAUUCGAUAAUUAGCCAAAAAUAAAUGUAUUAAAAAUAAGAAUUUAUCUUGCUAUCAAAUUCCCCCUACUUAGCCGAUACUUGUCCUCAAGCAUGAUAUCCACUAAAAAUAACUCGUCAAUCCUUUUCCAAAUCAAAACCCUCUUUCCUAGUCAAGCAUACUUCAAACAAUUAGCUGAAUAAAAAAUAAACAAUUGUUAAACUCAAUCAAUAAGCAUUUUAUAAAAUCUCGAAUAGUAUGUCAAAUUCAACUAUUUCACUAAAUUUAGGCUUAAUCAAACAUGCGAAACAAUCAUACCCAACAUAUAUUUUUUUUCUAUUUUUUAUUAUAUUAUUAUUUUUCAAACGUAGUCAAGUCUUUUGACACGAAGUGAGAUGACAACCCAAUCAUCUCACCCCGGUUACUUAACCCGACAUGUUCUCUUUAUUUAAUUAUUUAUUUUUAACAAAUUCAAGAAAUAAUCAAACAUUUUGACACGAAACAAGAUGACAACCUAAGCACCUGAUCCCGGUUACUUAAUUUCACAUGUCCCUAAUUGAUUUAUUUCUCCUUUCUAAAGGAAGCUUGGCUAUCAAAGUAUUACAAGUUUCGGCUCAUCAGCAAACCUUUUGACGCGAAAUGAUAUGACAACCCAAGCAUCUCAUCCCGGUUACUCAACUUGAUCACAUUGUUGAAUCUUCACUCUUAACCAAGCUAUUAGCAAAUUUAUUAUUUAUUUAAACAACUAAUUUCACUAGGCAAGUCCAAAAGAACCAACAAUUUUCAUGAAAUAUUGACUAAGGCAUAACAUUUUUAAUUCUAAAAAAUAUUCAUUGAUCAAGCAAGUAAUAGUUAUUCAUGAUUCAUCCACUUAUUUAAAUAAAUUAAGCAUAAGAAUUAGAGGUUUAUUUCCGAAUCGAACUAAGAAAUUAUUCUUAGAAAAACACAUGCAAUGAAUAAAGUAUGGCAUGAUCCUACGAACCCCCUACUUAGCCCACAUUGCCCUCAAUGUGCAAAUGAAAAUAAUAAUAAAUAGAAGGGUCAAGUGUACUCAUUGUGUUAAUUUGGCGAAGGGUGGUUUGGCCAGUUCGGGUUGGUUCUAGUCGGUUUGGUCCUGGGUGUAUGUUUCAACAAAUGACAGCACCGAAAUUUGACAAGGCGUGCCCACACCAUAGAAGUCCAAAUCUGAUUUAUUUUUGGAUGAAAGAGGACAACCUCUACCAUCGUUCCUAGAAAAUACCAUGAUAAAAUAGAUUAAAUAAUAAUCUUAUUUCUUUUAUAUUCAACAUAAAUUAAACUGAAUUCAAAAUUAAAUAAAUUGAAAUAACUUUUGUUUAACGUUGUUAUCUUGAUGACCUGAGUGUUAUUCGUUUGGUUCCUCCAGAAUUAAUUCUUCUACUACAUGCACUUGAAAGUCCUCGUAGAAAGAUCUCAACCUUUUCUCAUUGUUCUUGAAGUAUUUCCUGGAUUCCUCCAUUAUUGGUGGAUUGAGGUGUUUUUGAGCUUUUCCGUUCGGGUUUGCCUUUCCUCCAUCGGAAUUCUUCAAUAUACCGAUAACAGUUUGUAUUCCAGUUCCGGAGCAUGCAAAAUAGAAUGUAAGAGUGUAGUUUUAGAAUGCGACAGUUCAAAAUAUUUACCUUGACUUCUAGGAACUUGUGGAGUUUCCAAUAGAAUACCAGUUUCAUGAAUUGAUUCUCUAAACGUCAUUAUCUUCUGCUAUUUAUCCAUCGUAUUGAGGUCUAAACUCUUGCAAAGUACAGUUUGUAACUCAUCCUCUUCAUGAUACUCUAAAUGAAAUUUCGUUAGUGCUUCAAUAAUAUCAACACUAGAAAUAUUUGACAUUGUGUUAGGUUGACCUAUCGCCUUAUAAACAUUAAAUUUUAUCACCUCACCGUCAAAUUUCAUAGUGAGGGUUCCACUUCAAACAUCAAUUUUUGUACGUGCAGUACUUAGGAAUGGUCUCUCGAGUAGAAUAUCGGAAGCAUUUCUUAAGUGGUCGUCCUCCAUAUCGAUGAUUUAAAAGUAUGUAGGAAAAAUUAGUUCAUUUACCUUAAUGAGGACAUCCUCCAACACCUCUUCUGGAUAUACGAAGGAUUUGUCUGCCAAUUAAAUAAUCACCCCUGUUUCUUUCAAAUGACCCAUGUUUAGCAAUUUAAAAAUAGAUAAAGACAUUACAUUAAUGGAUGAUCCUAAAUCACACAUGGUUUUCUUUAUGCCAAUAUUACCUAUUUUGCAAUGUAUAGAAAACAUACAUUGGUUCUUACACUUAAGGGUGAGCAAAACUCGAUUCGACUCAAAAAAAUCGAAGAAAAAUUCAAAUUUCGAGUUAAACGAAUCAAGUUAUUCGAGUCAAUUCGAAUUUUUUUUGAAUUUCGAGUUCGAAUCAAGUUGAAUUUUCGAAUUCGAAUAACUCAAACAAUUCAAAUAAACUGAAUAUCAAACUAUAAUAUUUUACAUUUUUACCCCAAAUCCUCAAACCUUUUUACUUUUUCCCCAAAACUUUUGCUCAUCAUUUUCCCCCCAAAACUUUUACUCCCCUCUCAUCCCAACCCCCUAUCUACCCCAAAUCUAUUUCCCACCAAUUUUUUUAAUAUUUUUCCUCUAAAAUUUCCCCCCUCAUUUACUUUCCCUCAAAGUUUUACUCCAAAAAACCGUCAAAAAUUUUUAUUUUCUCCCAAAAUUUUUACUCCCUCUUACUUUUUUACUCCCCUCCCAUCCCACCCCAUCUACCCCAAUCCCAUCCCCCCUGUUUUUUUAAUAUUUUCUCUUCAAAAUUUUACUCCCCCUAUUUACUUUCCUUCAAAAUUUUACUCCCCAAACACUUUUUAUUUUCCCUUUAACUUUUACUUUUCAACCUUUACCCCCAAAUAAAAAAUCAAAAUCAUCCAAAAAAAAUCUCUAAACCUAAAUAAUAAUUUUAUUUAUAUCUACUAUUUAUAUUUUUAAAUUAAAUUUCACAUUUUGUACUAUUUAAAUUAUUGAAUUGUUUAAUCAUAUUGAACAGUUAUAUUAAAAUUGAAUUAUUAAUAAUAUCAUAAAAUAUGUGUUAAAAUUUUAUGUUGGUAUCAAUUUCACAUUUUAUCUUUAAAAUAACUUUUGUUAAAUUUUUUUUUUACAUUUAAUAUAUUUUUAAUUUCAAAAUACAUAAUUAGAAGGUAAUUGAAGCAACUAAGUAAGCAAAGAAGCUAACCCGUAUAUAAAAUAUUAAUAAAUAAAUUAUGAGGUGAUGAAAGUUAAUAACAAAUUUGAUUACGGUGGACAAAUUUGAUUACGGUGGGUGACAGUGGUUACAAGGACCCAAAAUUAUCUUUUAAAAUUUAACUCAAACAAAUAUAUUCAAUUCAAUUCAAAUUCCAUCUCACUCGACUCAAUUCGAGAAAAUUUCAAAUCGAGUUAGGAUGAUAAAAUAUGAUUCGUUAACUCGAUUAACUCGAAAGUUUUUCAUUUGAUUCAAUUUGAUCCAAUCAAAGGCUCACCCAUACUUACACUUAUGCGGGAUUUUCCUUUGUAACAUUGUAGAAAAAUUUUCUCCCACAUUCACCCAUUCGUUUCCUUGGAGUUUCUUUUUGUCGAUGCACAACUCUUUCAAGAAUUUUGCAUAGUGUGGAACUUGUUUAAUUGCAUCAAGUAAAGGAAUAUUGAUUUCUACCUUCCAAAAUGUCUCAAGGAUUUCUCUCUUCUCGCUCUUUUUUAAUUUGGACGAGCCUUCCAGGGAAUGGGGGUGGUACAACGAAUGGUUUUUGUGGUGCCAACUUUGUGGGACUUGUUGGUUCAAGUUUCUAUUUUUUUUUGUUCAGUGUCGUGACCAUCACUGUCAUAGCACUUUUCAAAACUGUUCCAAUUUUCAAUGUCAUAGUAUUUACAUUAAGUUGAGGAUUCAACUCAAUUUGAGACUGCAAUCUCCCUUGGGUCUCCAAACGACUAACCGUAAGCGUAAGCUUACUUAUUUACUAAUCUAGUUCUUGGAAAUGUGCUUCAUUCUUUUCUUCGAACUUUUCGGUGCUAAUGACUGACCUUUCUAUUAUGGUUUCAAGAGAUGACUUUGGAGGUUAAUAUUGCUGAGAUGGAGGUGGCCUUACUGGAUUUGAUUGAUUAUAUUGAGGGUUUGAUCCAUAGCUCAGGUUUGGGUGAUCCCUCUACCUUGCAUUGUACGUGCUUGAAUAUGGAUCAUAACGCCUUUGAAGUGGCUCUGGGAAGUUUCCAACAACGUUUACUUGUGUAGUUCUGUCCUCAAGUAAAAUCGGGCACGAGUCGGUAGGAUGAUUAGGCUUAGCGCAAACCCCGUACAACUGAGCUGGGUUCGUUUUUCCUGCAAGCAAAUUUUUAACCACAUUAGUAAGUUCAUCAAUCUUAUCUACUAAGGAAAGAGUACCGAGCUUAUGAACCCUUCUCGUAGGUUCCAUAGGUGGCCGAUACUGUUGAGAAUUUAUAGCCAUAGUCGAAAUUAAUUCUCUAGCUCUUUGAGGAGUCAUGUUCACAAGCGCCCCCCGCUAGCGACAUUAAUCAUUUUCAUUUCCAUUGGGAGUAACCCCUCAUAAAAAUAUUGUAAGAGCGAUUGUUCAGACAGGCCAUGUUAUGGGCAUCUUGCACACAACUUAUUGUAUCGCUGCUAAUAUUCAUAGAGUGACUAUGCUUCCUUUUGUUGUAUUCCGACUAUACUCCUCCUUAAUCCGACUGCUCGAGCUGCUGGGAAAAACCUAUCAAAAAAUAUCUUUGGUGUUUCUUCUGUCGGAUAAGUUAUGAUAGCGGUUGUUGUUCACCUGGUGCUGCUGCAAGUUGGCGUAUAGUUUGAUCUGUCAUUUCGUCUAAUUUCUCAAAUGAGAAAAUAUCUUUGGUAUAAGAUCCUACUUCGAAGUGGGAUGUAGUCCUUUACCAUGUUGAAUAGCUUCUCUUCGCAAUGUUCGAGCCAACUUCUUUAUUUUCGGUUCAAAUUCUACAGUCCCCAGUUUUGACCUAGUCAUAAAGAAAACAAACAAAAAUUAGAAAAAAAAAUUUAGUCCUCGGCAAUGGUGCCAAAAUCUGAUGGGUGUCGAAAUCACCAAAUAUAAAUUCCUACAAAAAAUAACAGUAAAUUAAAAUAUAGAGCAGUAGGGUCAAAUGCAUAGGGACUAGUUAUCUAAUUUCACCUUUUCUUAUGACGAGAAUUACUGUCGUCGUAACAGUCAUGCCCAUGACCUGUGCGUUGCAAUGUUGGAAAAUAAAAAGGGGUUUUAGUUGAUAAAGAUAAUAAUAUUAAAAUAAAAAAUAUAUGUGUAUAUAAAAUAAAGCCAAAAAAAAUGUGACUGCAAAAUAACUUAAGGAAAAUAAAAUAAAUUGGUAAAUAAAAUAUUUUUAAAGCUUAGCCUUAGCCUCGGUGUACUCCGAACUCGAAUCGAUCCUUGAAAAAUGAUUUUUCUCUUCCAAGUGAUAAGUUGGUUAUAGUAAUCGAGGACGCCUCAAACCGUCAGCUCUUCCUCUCAUAGUCGAUUUCGGUACGACUUGCAAAUCGACCCUUAUCAAAUUUCUAAUCACGUGGCACGUACCUGUAAUUUAAGACUUUGAAAGCCUUACGAUUUGAAAAGCCCAACUCGAAUUAAUGGCCUCAACAAUUUGAGUCGUUUAAAUUCGAUCACUAUCUCCCUUGACGGAAUCCAACUAGCUUUUUCCAAUUGAACACGCCAAUUUUUUCGCGGAACUUUGAAUACAACAUGGCCGACUCAGUUCCCAAUUGUAUACCAAACAAUUCCUACCCAACGCGCGCUUUUUGAAUUGAAAUCAAAUCAACUUUAAGGGACGAAUUUGUACUAUCCCAUAUACCAGAGAGAUAGCGAAUACCGAGUCACAAAGUAUUUAGCAUGUGUUCAAAUCUCACGAUUAUUUGUCGUAGUGGUAACCUGUUUAAGGCUAAAAAGAGGUUUAGUUAAGCAUGAAUAAAUCAUGCUAGAUGGAGUAUGAAAGUGGUGGAAUUUGGAAAGGGGAAAGGUCUUGGAAGGUAAUUAAACCAAAAAAUUUGUUGAAAGUAAAAGAAAUUUGAAACAAGAAUAGAGCACUGACAUAGAAAGGAAUAAAAGAAGUAAAGAAUUGAUUCAUUCCAAAGCCAAGUCAGCCCAAAUAUUUAUACACAAUUCUAGUGCUAAAAUCUAGCUAAAAUCAAACCUUCAAUCUUUCGAUCUACCCCUCCUCUUUAUUUUUUUGUUCUAAUUUAACCUUAUUUUUGUAAGGAUUUGAAUUCAACACACCAACUUCAUUCCUGAUAAGAAAAACUCAAAUUUAAUAGCAUUUUAUUCGAUAAUUAACCAAAAAUAAAUGUAUUAAAAAUAUAAAUUUAUCUUGCUAUCAAUUGGGAUUCCAAACAAAAGGUUAAAGCAAAUUAACAUUUAUAUGUUUGAGACUUUUUGUUUUGAAUGAUUAAUGGGUUUAUAAUAAAAGAAUUCAGUUUGGUUUGGAGGAUAAUCGUAAUUUUUAAUGUAUAUUCUAAAAAUCAUCCAAAUACCAUAUUCCAAAUCAAAAUAUUGUCAUUUUAAAGAUCAAAGUAGGGGUGAGCAAAACUCGAUUCGAUUCGAAAAAAUCGAAAAAAAAAUCGAAUUUCGAGUUAAAUGAAUCGAGUUAUUCGAAUCAACUCGAAUUUUUUUUUCGAAUUUCGAGUUCGAAUCGAGUUGAGUUUUCGAAUUCGAAUAACUCGAAUAAUUCGAAUAAUUCGAAUAUUAAACUAUAAUAUUUUACAUUUUUACCCUAAACUCCCAAACCUUUUUACUUUUCCCUUAAAACUUUUACUCCUUCCCACUUUUCCCCCAAAACUUUUACUCCCAUCCCAACCCCCCAAUCUACCCAAAAUCCAUUUCCCACCAAAAUUUUACUCUCCCAUUUACUUUUUCUCAAAAUUUUACUCUAAAAAACCCUCAAAACAUUUUAUUUUCCCCCACAAUUUUUACUUCCUCCCACUUUUCCCCUAAAACUUUCAUUCCCUUCCCAUCCCAUCUCCUACCUCCUAUCUACCCCAAACCCUCCCCCCUCCAAUUUUUUUUAAUAUUUUCCCUCCAAAAUUUUACUCCCCCUAUUUACUUUCCCUCAAACUUUUAGGGUCUGUUUGAUUGACGGAAUUGAUUUUCUGGAAAAUCAUUUCCAACUUUUCCAGCGUUUGAUUGGCAGAAAACAUUUUCCAUUUGGAAAAUGAACUCCAAAACAAGGGAAAAUGGAUUACAUUUUAGGGAAAAUGUCUUACCUUUUCAAUUUCCGUAAGACAUUUUCCGUGCUCUCCUCUCUAUCGCCUCCUUCAUUCCUUCCUUCAUUUCCGGUAGAAAACUACUUCUGUUUAUCGAUAUUCCAGUAACUUAUUUUUUUAAUUAUUCAAUACUUGUUUUUUUAACACAAUUACAAAUAAUUUAUUUGAUAUUAGUUUUUUUUCAAUUUAUAACGAUUAAUAUUGUAGCUUAAUAAUUGAGUAUUAUUAUAAAUAAAUCAUUGCAAUAUAUGUAAAAAUAAUUUAAAAUAUAAAAAUUUAUUAAUAUAUAUUAAUAUAUGUAAAAAUAACUUUUUCAGAAAAUAUUUUCAGGGAAUCUGCCAAGCAGCAGAAAAUAUUUUACACAGAUUCAAUCAAACACCAGAAAAUAUUUUCCAGUAAAUCAUUUUACAGAAAAGUAAAACAUUUUCCAGAAAUUAUUUUACGGAAAAUAUUUUACUGGCAAUCAAACAGACCCUUAUUCUCCAAAACUUUUUAUUUUCCCCUUAAACUUUUACUUCUCACCCUUUACUCUCAAAUAAAAAAUCAAAAUUAUUCAAAAAAAAAUCACUAAACAUAAAUAGUAAUAAUUUUAUUUAUAUCUACUAUUUAUAUUAUUAAAUUAAAUUUCACAUUUUAUAUUAUUUAUAUUAUUGAAUUGUUUAGUCAUAUUGAAUAUUUAUAUUAAAAUUGAAUUAUUAAUUAUGCCAUAAAAUAUUCGUGUUAAAAUUUUAUAUUGGUAUCAAUUUCACAUUUUAUUUUUAAAAUAACUUUUAUUAAAAAAUCAUAUUUUUACAUUUAAUAUAUUAUUUAAUUCUAAAAUACAUAGUGACAAGAAUCUAAAGAUAAUUCAAAGAACUAAGCAAGCAAAGAAGCUAAUCAAUAUAUAAAAAAUUAAUAAAUAAAUUAUGAGGUGAUGAAAGUUAAUAAAAAAUUGAUUAAGGUGGACAAAUUUUAUUACGAUGGGUGACAAUAGUUACAAGGACUCAAAAUUAUUUUUUAAAAUUUAACUCGAACAAAUAUAUUCGAUUCGAUUCGAUUCGAAUUCCAUCUCACUCGACUCGAUUCGAGAAAACUUCAAAUAAAGUUAGGAUGAUAAAAUGAGAUUCGAAAACUCGAUUAACUCGAAAAUUUUUGAUUCGAUUCGAUUCGAUUCGAUCGAAUGCUCACCCCUAGAUCAAAGUACAAUUUUAACUAUACUAACUUAAAGAUUUUAUAAAUUGUAAAGGCGCCAAAAAUCAAAAUUUCCCAUUUUAGGCCCCCGGCGUAGCGCCGGCAUUGCUAUUUUUCAAGCCAUCAGUUUUGACAGGCACAUAUUUCAAUAUCAGAAACCUGUAUAACUUAAGAAAUGAGAUUUUCUGAGCAAAAAGAACAGUUUACCCUUAAGUUUUGCAUAGGUUUACCAUGGAUAAGUUGCUCCCCUUGUCCUUCACCUUCCUUGUGUUCAUUUUCAUGGUGUUUAAACUAUGGAUGAGAUCCAAAAUAAAGGAGACACCCAAAAAUCUACCUCCUGCACCAUGGAAACUACCUAUUAUAGGGCACUUGCAUCUUUUAAUAUUUGCUCUUCCCCAUCAGCGCUUGGCGGAAUUAGCCAAAAGACAUGGUUCCCUGAUGCACCUAGAACUUGGUGAAUUAUCAUACGUUGUUGUUUCUUCUCCAGAGGCUGCUAAAGAAGUGAUUAAAACACAUGAUAUCAAUUUUGCUAACAGGCCCUUUCUCCUUGGUGCAGAAAUCGUAUUAUACAAUCUUUCAGAUAUUGCUUUUGCACCAUAUGGAAGCUGUUGGAGGCAACUUCGAAAAGUUUGCACAUAGGAGCUACUCAGUAUGAAACGAGUACAAUCAUUCCGUUCAGUCAGAGAAGAGCAGGUGUCAAGUUUAAUUAGAUCCAUCUUUUCUAAGACAGGAAAGGAAAUCAAUCUUGGAGAAAUGUUAUGCAAUUUAUCAUAUAACAUCACUUUAAGGACUGCUUUCGCAGGAAGGUGCAAGAAACACGAAGCAUUCAUUUCAUUUCUCAAGAAAUUCGUGGAAGCUAUGGCUGGUUUUAAUAUUGCUGAUCUAUUUCCAUCCAUCAAAUUUCUUCCGUAUCUCAGUGGGAUGAGAGCCGAACUUGAGAGGUUUCACCAUGAUAUAGACACAAUGCUUGAAAGCAUCAUUCAAGAACAUAGAGAUAGCAGUGCAAAUCCGGAGGACAGUGUUGAUGUAACAGAGGAUCUAGUUGAUGUUCUUCUGAAUCUUCAGGAUCAUGGAGGACUUGAGUUUCCCUUAACAAUUAACAACAUCAAAGCUGUUAUCCUGGUUAGUGGUUUGAUAUAUCAUAUCUUGCGUGUUUAUAUAUGGGUUUAUAUAGUCCUAUAUAAAUUUAACAUGCUCAAACAUCAAAUUACUUCAAACUUCAGGUUGAUAUCUUUGGGAAGCAAGAUUUAUUCAGUGUUCAAAUAUAUGAUUCCUUGCUUCUUUUAGUUGCUUGAAAACUGUAAAAAGAUGUUUUGUACCGUAACUAAGUAGAACUUCAUUUCAGGACAUUCUCAUGGGUGGAACUGAGACAUCUUCAACUCUAGCAGAAUGGGCAAUGUUGGAAAUGAUGAAAAAUCCUAGGAUCCUUGGAAAAGCACAAGCCGAGGUGAGGGAACUCUAUGAUAAAACAGGGGAUGUUAAUGAGUCAAACCUUGAUGAACUGAAGUACUUAGAAGUUGGUUAUAAAGGAAACUCUAAGAUUACACCCUCCUCUACCUUUGCUAAUUCCAAGAGAAAAUAGUGAGAGAUGUGAGAUUAAUGGAUAUGAGAUACCAGCCAAGACCAGAGUGAUUGUUAAUGCAUGGGCAAUUGGAAGAGAUUCCAACUACUGGAAUGAAGCCGAGAGGUUCUAUCCAGAGAGAUUCAUCGAUGGUUCAGUUGACUAUAAAGGGACUAACUUCGAGUUUAUUCCAUUUGGUGCUGGAAGGAGGAUAUGUCCUGGCAUGUCGUAUGGUAUGGCUGUUGUCGAGCUUUCCCUUGCAAAAUUACUAUCCCAUUUUGAUUGGAAACUCCCCAACGGAAUGAAAAAUGAGGAUCUAGACAUGACCGAGGCUUUUGGCGUUUCUGUUAAAAGAAAAAACGAGCUCCACGUUAUUCCCAUUCCGUAUUGUCAAUAGAGUACGGCGGGGUCAAUUUACUAAACUCAUCUACUUUUCAAAAAUAAAUCCACUCUAUUCGAAACAAAUUAGUACAAAAUUCAUCGAAGGCUCAAAAUUUGUCAUUCCUAUAAUCACUUAUCAUCAUGUGUUAAAUAUUUAAAAUAUAUGUAUUUCACAUGCCAGUGAAAAGAUUGUAAAAUCACAUUCUAAAUUGGAGUUGUUGCUUUUUUUUUUAAUUCGUGUUUGAAUAAUGUUCCCUUUAAUUUUUACCUUGAGGUAGGAGCAUAUUGAAAAGACAAGUGUGUUGUUAUUCAGCUAAGAGUGUACUUCGAUGUUUAAAUUGGAAUAUUGGGUUGUUUCUCUUAGAUUAGGUUGGCAACUCAACAAUAUAGCUUUGGGUAAAUAACGACAGUUGGGAGAACCCAGAAACUUUGCAUUUACGUUUAGCCGCCUCGAAAUUCCAAAUUUUGGGAAGUGACUUUCUUUUGGAAUAAACUAUAUAGAGUCUUUAUAUUUUGUCAAGUUGGUCAUUAAUGUUAAAAGAAUUAACCAAACAAAUAAUUCUACUAUUAAACUCAUCUAUUUCGCGGUUAAUUCUUUUUAUUCUUUCAUUCUUUAUUAUAAUUUUUCCUUUCCAUUCUCUCUCCUCUCCUGAGCUUCUUAAUAUAAAUUUUCCAUGAGCUUUUAUAAAACACAAAUUUUUAAUCGGUUCUUCUUAUAAGCUUCUAACAACUACAAAGAUCAUAAAUUAUUUACUCAAAUUCCUAAUAAAAACACAAUUUUCUAACCAAAUACUCAAAGUCUUAUUGGAAAUCUAACUUCGUAAAAAUUCUUAAAAAUUUGUAAAAAAUGUUAAUUAAAAAUCAUAAAAAUUAUAAAAUUAUUAUUUUGGCAUUAUAAAUUUUACAAUUUAUAUUAAUAAUUUUUUUUUAUAUUUUUUUAAAAUUUUUUACAAAGUUAGGUUUCCAAUAGGACUUUGAGUAUUUGGUUAUAAAAUUGUGUUUUUCAUUAGGAGUUUGAGUGAAUAGUUUGAUUUUGGUAGUUAGUAGAGAAUGUUGUUAUAUAUGAGAUAUAUUGUGAUUUAGGGGAUACUUUGUUAUGUAUCAUAUAUAGUUGAUGGUUAGAAAAUAUUAUUGGAACCCAAUUUUGUAAAAAUUCUUAAAAAAUUGUUAAUUGAAAAUUUUAAAACUUAUAAUGCAAAAAAAAACAUUAUAAUUUUUAUAAUUUUUACAAAUUUUCAUUAACCAUUUUUUUUACAAUGUUUACAUUGUUUUAAGAAUUGGUAAUUGUGUUUUUUUCUCUAGAAAUUUAAGUAUUUGGUUUACUGAGACGUGGUACCACGUUGGCAAAAGUACACCCUGCUGAAUACGUUUUCACUAAAAGCAUAUCCAAUGGAGUACGCUUUUACCCAAUAAAUUUUAAAAAAAUUCCAAAUCGUUGGAUGCAAACAAUUAAAAAAUCAGGGCUCUUGAAUUUUUUUUAACGGUUGGCCUAAUGAUUAAAUAAAUUUUAAAUAAAAAUAUUUAAUUUCAACAGUGAAAGAAAAAAAGAAAAAAUUUCCCAAAGUCCCUAAAAUCCCAUAUUUAUGUCCAAACCAAAUUCAAUGUUUUCUCAUUCUAUUCCAUCAAUACUAAAUUUAAUUUUCAUUCUCAAAAUUCAUUUCCUCUCAAUUUUCUAUCUCAAUUCCUAAAUUGAUUACAAAAUAGUAGGAGUGUGCAAAAUUUGAGUAAAACCGAAAAAAUUCGGUUAACCGACUGAAUUCUAUUAAUCGGUCGGUUAAUCGAAUUUUUUCGGUCGGGGUCGGUUAAUUAUUUUUUUAUUUUUUGGUUAACGGUUAAAUUGGUUCAAAACCGGUCGGUUAACCGAAUUUUUUCGGUUUAACCGAAAAAUUAAUAAAUAAAUUUAUAAUAUAUAAAUAGGCCCACUAUUCACCUAAACCCAAUCCAAACCCAAGUAUCCAACCCAACCCAACCAUAAAAAUUAAAAAUAAUUUAAUAAAUAAAAAUAAAAUUCUAAAACUAAAACUAAAGUCUAAAAGUCUAAACUCAAUAGUGAACAGACGACAGGAAAAAAAACCUAACCUUAAACUUCAAAUCCCUAAUUGAAAACUCCCAAAAUCUCUACCAGGCCAGCCGCCUUCCUUCCGGCACUUCGGCGUCUACCAGGUCACCAUCCAUCACCGGCGAGUUGAGGUAGGCUUUUAAUAGCUCAAGAGUACUUUCACCAACUAAAGCCUCCAUUUCUGCGAAUUCUGUUUUAAGAAUGAAACUAGAUCGAUGUUCAUAAUCCCAAUAGAUAUCAGCUAAUAUUUGUAUUUACGAACUGCUGCAUUUCAUCUCCGCACCCGAACCCGAACCUGUUUCAUCUUCAUGUAAUAACCCUUUGAUUGCUUCAUGUAAUAGCAAUGUUCUUUUCUUGCAUGGUUGAGAUUUGCAAACUGUCCAAAAAAACAUAAUUAAUAAACCAAAAAAAUAAAAAUAAAUUAUUUUUAUUGAAUAUUUUGAUUGAAAAAAUAAAUGAUUCUCAUAGUUAUGGUUGGGAGCUGUUGUCCAAAUGUUGAAAAUUCAGCAUAUAAAUUCCUUGAUUUAAAAGCCAUAAACUACUCUUUUAAAUGAAUGGAAGUUUGGUUGACAUUUUUUUUACAAUUUGGCUACUGUUUUUAAAGUUUAUAUGUUGACCAAAUGCUAGAAAAUUAGCAUACAUACUCCCUUGUUUAAAAAGCCUUGAGUUGUUGUUUAUUGAUUUUAAUGCAAUGUAUUGUUACUGUUUGCAUGUUGUCAUAAAUUGAAUUAAAGUUAUUGUUUGAGUGUUUCAAAUUGAGCAUUUUGACACUGUCUUAAAUUGAAUCAAGCUGCUGUUUUAGUGUUUCAAAAAGAUUGAAGAACAAAUCCAAGAGCUUGACAAGAUUGAAAAUGGUAUAUUUAUUGUUUUAUUUUAAUAGUUUUAAUUUUUUUACCAUAUCACUCCUACUUAUUUAAUUGAUUCAAUGUUUAGACUUUUCUUGGAAUGCAUCAAAGCCUACCCUAAAUUCAUGAGCUUUCGUGAGUUGAAGGGUAUGCUUACUAUAUUAUUCUUGUUAACUUAUAAUCUAUUCGUUUGUUUAUAUUAUUUGAUUUUUUUUAAAUGUGUAUAUUUCUAUUAUAUGCUAAAUUUUUGCACAUGAUUUUUUUUUGUAGGUUUAAUGUAAAUGGAGAUCUUUUGGAGAGAAGAAAUGAAUACAAAUAGAAAAUAUUAAAAACUUGCAUUUCAAUUAUGUAUUAAUUUCAAGACUUAUGUAAUGUUAGUGGUUCAAAGGCUUAUGUAAUGUUUUUAAUUAUGUAGUGAUUCAAUUCGGUUAAUUUGAAUAAUUCAGUUAAUUCGGUUAAUUCGGUUAAUUCGGGUAAUUCGAUUAAUUUUUAACCAAAAAUAAAAAUAUAUAUAAUUUUCAGUUAAUUCAGUUAACCGACCAAAUUAACCGAAAAAAUUUAGGUUCGGUUAAUUUUUUUGAAAAAAUUUCAGUUCGGCUAACGGUUAAAAAUUUUGAAAGGUUUGUUAUUUUGGUUAAUAUUAUUUCAGGUCGGUUAAUCGACUGAACACCCCUACAAAAUAGUUUGCUAUCUUUAAAUUCAUUUCGUGUCUUCAUUAGAUUUUCAUCAUCUCAAAUAUUUCAAGUAACAUGAUUUUUAAAGUGUUUAAAAUUUUUAAUAAUAGAAUUAAGUUGUUUGCAUCUAUCAAUAUAGUGUGGAAAUAUAUUAUUUUUAUGUUAAAUAAAUUGUUAACUUUAGUAGUGUUUUAAAAGUAUCAUAAAAUUUUGUAUGCGUUGUUAGAAUUUUACAUAAAAAUUUUGGGUGAUUUUCUAUGAUGAAAUGAUAUUUGAUUUUUAUGUAUCCCAGUGGCUCCUACAAUGCUUGGCAUAUAGCAUAAGUGCAACCGUUGCUCAACAACUGUGGAAGAUAUUUUUCGUUUGAUAAAACCAUAUAAAAACCAAAGAGUAGCACAUGGGCAUCAAUACUUCUAGGUAGUUCUAUUUACGGGUCGGGUUAUUCGUCCAACCCGUAUUUCGAGUCGGAUUGGACUUGGAUAAACAUAAAAUAUAUUAAAAUCAUGUUUAGGUCCGUCCCAAAUCUGACCCGAUCCAACCCAUGAAUACUUCUACUUCCAGGUUAAGGGUUAAAAAGUUAAAUAUUUUUAAGUUUUAAAUUUGGAUAUUGUGGAUGAAAAAUGUUUAUGAUAGAACUUAUUUGGAGGGCGAUUUUGUUCUCUUAACUUAAAAAAAUGGAUAAAUUAGUUUUAAUAUAUUAGAUCAAAGUGUAAAUUGAUCAUUUUUGCUAAAAAUUCUAUUUAUAUUUAUUGUUAAAAACUGACGUGGUUAAUGGAAUAACCAGAAAGUGACAUGUGGCAUGCUACUUGUACCUCAUACUAGUGUACAUGAACCGAAUUUUAACAAUAGAAUUAGAUGAAAUUUUUAAUAGAAUUACCAGAUUAAUCUUUGAUCUAAUAUAUAGGAAUUAAUUUACCCAUUAAUUUUUUAAUAAAGGGGCAAACCGCAAUCUAAGUCUUAAUAAAUAAGCAUUCAUGAUACUUUUAACAACUUAUCUUUCGUUUAAGAGAUUAACCUGAUUUGAAUCGAAACUCAAUAUGAUUAUAAGAUGUAGAAAGAAUAUCUCAUUAAAGAAAAUAUCACGAGGGCAUAUAAGAAUGAUUCAAUUGGGAAUGUGGUUCAAUUAGAUAACAACGCAGUGUCCUCUAUGGUAGAUUUAUGGUUGUCAUCCCCAAAAUAAAAGGCAAAUGCCAACAAAGGUCAUAAUCAAGGCCCCAUCCUUCUUUCGUCAUCAUCCUUCAAAGCAUAUACUCUCAAAUUCUUGGUAUCAAAUGACCUUUUAUUAUAACACCCCUAACCCGUCUCCGUCACCGAGUUAGGGUUACGAAGUAUUACAAAACAAUAAAAAACAUAUGAACAUUUUAUCAAUCAGUACAAUAAUCAUAUUAUAAAGCUUUCAUACUCAUGCAAAACGUCCCUAAGUCGAGCCCUCAAGACUCUAAAAAUAACAUAGAAACAAUUUGGGACCAAUUUGAAAUAGUUUAAAAAGUUAAGGAAAAAGAUGCAAAAUUUGCAAAAUAGGAAUCACACGGCUGUGUGCCUCACACGACUGAGACAUACACCCGUGUCUCAGGCCGUGUAACAAUCAAAUUAGGGACACAUAGCCGUGUCUCAGCCCGUGUCCUCACCCGUGUAACUUAUUAAGUAGGGUCACACGGUCGUGUCACACGCCCGUGUGCUAGGCCGUGUAACUCAUUGACUUGCACCCUAAAGAACUCAUGUAAUAGCCCGUUUUUAGUGAAAUCAGAAUAGUGGUUUCGGGACCACAAAUCCAAGUCCGAAAGAAAAUUUAUUUUAAUAUUAUUUUUAUGGUCUGUAUAAUGAUAGGAAUACCAUAAGAAAAAAUUCGUUACUAAAUUUUACUGAUUUCAUGUUUAAUCUGAUAAAAAGGACCAAAUUGCAUAAAGUGCAAAUGGUCUGUAUAGUUGAUGGUUAGAAAAUAUUAUUGGAACCCAAUUUUGUAAAAAUUCUUAAAAAAUUGUUAAUUGAAAAUUUUAAAAUUUAUAAUGCAAAAAGUUAAUUUUAUAAUUUUUAUGAUUUUUACAAAAUUUUAUUUUACCGCUCAACAAAAUUUGUUUUUUUCAACCAAAAUGUUAUUAUAAUAUAUUUUAUGCAUUCCAAUUUUUAUGUAUUCUUUUACCAUGGACUGUAUAUCUAAUUUAAUCUAAUAUAAUACUUAUAUUUAAGCACUUAAUUAAAUCAGUGUCACCUUUAAGUGGGUCAUUUUAAUGAGGUAUUGUCACUCUUAAUAGGGCCACCAACAAAUAGGGCCACCAACACAAUUAUAAAAUUAUAGAAAUACUAAUUUUUUUAAAUAAUACUCCAACCAAAAAUAAUAUUAGUGUUAUCCUAAAUGAUUCUAGCCUCAUUCAUUUCUUCCACAAGUCUCCUAAUCUCAUUUUUUUUGCACCAUCGCAUACCUAUAAGGUUUGAGCUUUACAACUUGAGACUUAUAUUUUAUAUGGAUUUGAUGAUCUUGAACUUUAUGUGGUGGAAACCCUUAUCGAAGUUAUAAAACAACGUGAUAUUUCAGCACCAAGUAUGAAAGGUCACUAGAUAACUUAAGUGAAUGAAUAUCCAACUCCUUUGUAGUUUAGAUUUUAGUCAUUAAUAGUGUAAAAGCUUGCAAAGAAUAGUCGAGAUGUUGAUAAAUUGCUUACAUGUAAGAACAAAAAUUGCACUUGCGAGCAACCCUUUCAACUGAUUUUUUUUACCUAGAAAAAAUUUUAUGGUGAGCUCAUUGAAACCCCAAAGAGCAGGGUCGAACUCUGUAAACCAUUAUACUCUCAAAACCAAGUCAUACUCCAGUAAUGGUAAAACCAAAAGAUAAGUACAUUGUGAAAGACCUUGUGACAUCCAAGAAACCCCCUUACACAAGUCUUGUGCAUACAUAUUAGCUCACUAUAUUAUUCACUAACACUUGCACUCCUCUGUUAUACCUCAUUUGAGUUAAGACACGUGGUAAGCUAGAAAGGCACCCAAAUAGUAAGCCUGCCACAACCUAACCAGGAGGUCACCUAUGUGUUUUCCCUUUUAGGAUGACCAUUCGAACAGGUGCAGAUCAUCUGUUGUCCAAGUCUUAGCGUCUUCAUUGGGAACGUGAAGUUGUUAAUUACCAAAUAGUAUGUGGGCUCAAUUGCUCCAUACCACCAAGUCAGAAUAAAUGAUAAGAUUUGUCCCAUUAUAGACAUCCUUGUUUCAUCGAAGUCAUCCACCCCACACGUUCCAUAAUGAUGAUUUAAUGGCAAGUCCAACACGUUAACACGAACUUACGCGAAACCCUCACCUAUAAAUACCUCCAAGAACGAGGAAGAAAUGAUCGACUCUCAAAGGUACCAAGCUUACAUUCUGUUAAUAUGAACCAUUUUGACAAAUAAUCUAAUAGGCAUGCCAUAAAAGUAAGCAUUAUAUUAAAAAAUAAAUAUAUUCUGCAAUUUCCUAUCUAAACCUCAAUUUUAGAAUUGAGAGUUAUCCUCUUAUAUUUAUUGUUUAGAUAGGAAAUAAUUACCAAAAUUAGGUUUGAGGUUUUGCGUUCAAGGUAAAAUAAUUACCAAAAUUAUGUGUCAAUAACAUAAAAAAAUUGCACAAAAAAUUAUUAUUAUUUUAAAUUGGUUGCACUAAAAUAAAAAAUAUUAACUUAUGGAGAAAAAUAAAAUGAUUAAAAUUUGUAAAAGAAGAAAAGAUUUGUUUCAUCGAAGUCAUCCACCCCACACGUUCCAUAAUGAUGAUUUAAUGGCAAGUCCAACACAUUAACACGAACUUACGCGAAACCCUCACCUAUAAAUACCUCCAAGAACGAGGAAGAAUAGAUCGUCUCUCAAAGGUACCAAGCUUACAUUCUGUUAAUUCACAUUUAGCCCUCAACCUUCAUACUCUUAUAAUUUUUACUCUUUAUAACCUCUAACUCUUCACCCCAAUUAGGUGAACUGACCUUCACAACAAUUAACACAUUCUCUUCCAUAUCUUCUCUUUGUUGUAUUACUGUAUCAACGAUUGGUGCAGUGAGCAUGGCAAUAUGGCUCCACAAUCUUAAAAUGGAACCCUUAUCAACCAAACCAACCAGACCAAUGACCUUGCCAACUAGACUAACUUCCUUGCUCCACUCAUUACCCCAUUUCACCUGCUUUAGGAACUCCCAUUGACUUGAACUUUACCCAGACUCCUUCUACUUCUAACCUGCAGGAACCCUUUUGUAAUACGCAAGUUCUCUUCUUUCCAUUUUAGAGCAACUUAUAAAUGCCUUAAAGGAUCCUCACGUCUCCAGCCCAGUUUUUCUUACUGCACUAACAAACGUCACUCGCCAGACUACUCCCGUCCCACCAGCUACUGCAAAGUAUCAACAACCACAAGGUGUUCCCACCCUUAGGCUUUUGGACCAAAUAGCUUGUUGUUUGUAAGAGGUUGUAACUUGCCUUACAACUACACCACUUUCACCAACUGUAACCCCCAUCCCACUAGAUCAAGGCUCUCAUCAAUAAGCCUCAAGCCCCCAACCCCAUGACUUUGAAACCUAAGAGAAGUUAUGACAUUUGGAAGAGUAGUUCUCCUAGUAGAAGUAUUGUUUUAAAGAACAGGAAGAGCAACAACACAUUCUUGAUCAAAGGAAUACAUAGAAUAAGCAACAUAUUGAUAAGCUAAGAGUUGUUUGGGAGGUCCUAGGCGAGAAAACCUGGGCCGUUAGGAAGAUAAAGCUUAGUCUACAUUCCGUGGAGAAUGCAGUCAUAAUAAUUUGAAUGGACUUCAUAGGAAUAAUACUAACCUUCUGGCAGUAUCCUAACAUUCCCAAGGCAACAAAAACAUUUUUGUAAAAGAAUAGCUUAAAGCCUUCAGGUUUGAAAACAGUUUUCUUACACAGUGAAAAAUUAAAAUUUUGAAAAUCGACUCAGUUUGUGAUAUUUAUAACAAUAAACCUUAGAACGAAAUCAUACCUGUAUUUUCGGAUAAACGGAUCUUUGAUGUUUUUCAGCUUUCAACCAAAUGAUCUUUUUCGCUAUUCUCGUAUCACGAACUGCUCUGAGUGUGGGAUCGAACCAAUUGAAUCAAAAUACAGAAAUAGAAAAAGUUUUCUUUUCUUUUGGGGGUGAAAACAAAAAUUCUCUCUUCUUUAAUAGAAACCGGUAGAAUUGUUAUUCUAGAAAAUAUAUUUAAUAAUUGAGAAUAAAUUCUCUCUAUUUUUGAGCAGAGUAACAAUCUCUCAAAAUUUUAUAAAUAACUCUACCGGUGUCAUCUAUUUAUAGGAAGAGAAAGUCGAACCUUUGUUGAGUUGUAGAAGUUUAUUUCAACUAGAAAAGUUUCCUAAUUAGAGUAGGAGUAAGGUGGACGACAUUCCCUGGUAUUCCUACUAAGGUUGUUUCCCCUUCAUAUUCCAUUAGGAGAUUUUGGGCCUCUCUCGCAACAAGUCCAAUUACAAGUACUUCCUGAACUUUUCCCAAAAUUUGAUCCAACCUGAUUCUGUUUUUAUAUUUCGUAAAAUAUACUUCAAUAUAUUUAUAUUAAAUAAAUUUAUCAUCCCAAAAUCAUGACAAUUUUACCCUGGUAAAAUCAUGACAAUUUUACCCCGGGUAAAAUUUUGAGAAAAUAUGUUUAAUAUUUGUAACAGACUGUUUUUCAUUGGUGUCGAAAAUAGUAGUUUCGGAAUCACAAAUCUGACGAGUGGGUCCAUAAAUAUUAUUUUUAAUAUUUACAAGCCAAAUAUAGUAUAAUAAAUUUUUAUUUGAUAAUUUAUGUUAUUUGAAUGAAUAAUUAGGUUCAAGCGAUAAAUCCUUAAGUGAUUUUGGAAAAUAAGGUUUUGUGACCUUGUUUCUAUAAAAUGAGCCCAUAAAUAUUUUAUUAAAUAUCUAUGGAGUGUUAUUAAGGUUAUAUUAAAAUUUGGUUAAUAAAUUUUAAUGUUUAAAUAGUUAAUUAAAUGAAAAGGACUAAAUUGUAAAAGAUGCAAAAGUUUACUUUUAUAUGUUAAAGGGGUCAAAUGGCUAUGAAAUAUUAAAUCAAAGGGCUUAGUGGAUAAUUAUAUCAAGUACAUUGAUGGACGAUUAUGGACAUGUUUUUGUCAUUUUGUAAGUUAAUAAGAUAAGGACAAAAUGGUAAUUAAAUAAUAAAUUAACUUUAAACAAAAGAUGAAAACAAUGUCAUCUUCCCCAAAAGGAAUUAGCAGCCGGUUCCUCCAUUAAAUAAAAACCAAAGCUUUCGGCCAAGUUAAAAUCUCAUGCAUGGUAGGUUUUCGAGCCCCGCUUUUAGUGAUUUUUAUAUUUUUGAGUUUGUAUUAGCUUAAUCUAGUUAGCUCGGGGUCAAUUUGCAAAACUGUUAAAGGUUUAGGAAUUUUCCAUGAAUUAUUUUGAGGCUUUUUUUUUAUUUUUAAUCGAUAAAUUAUUAAAGUUUGUAAUUAAAUAUAAGUAUUUUGUUAAGUGGUUUUUGAUGAUUUUGAUGUUUAAGAAUUAAUUUGUUAAAAGUGUAAAAUUCUUUGGAUUUAAUGUGAAAUUUUCAUGAAUAUAGGCCGUUUAGGAAUCCUAUAAAAAUUGGCUAAUAUGAAUUUUAGCUAAAAAUGAUAAAUUUGUGUAUUUUGGGUUUAGGGACUAAAUUGCAUAAAAGGUAAAAUAUUAGAGAUAAUUCUGUAAAUUUCUCGUUGAUAAGGAUUAUGAGUUUUAUUAAUUAUAUUGAGUUAUUUGAAUGAUUUAAUUGAAUGAAAAUUAUUAUUUUGACCAAGAAAUGAAUCAAACGGAUCAAAAUCGAGAAAAGGCUAAUAUGCCGAGUUAUGGUGUUGUAAUAUUGAAUGUUGAUUGGCGGAAAUAAAUAAUAGAAUUGAGUUUUACUUUCAGUAUCAUAUCAGGCCUUGAGUCUAGUAGGCUUCGUGCUGGUGUAUCAUAUUAGGCCUUGCGCCUAGCAGGUUUCGUGCCGGUGUAUCAUAUUAGGCCUUGAGCCUAUAGGUAUAUAUUUUCAGGCCUUAAGCCUAGCAGGCUUCGUGCCGAUGUAUCGUAACAGGCCUUGAGCCUAUCAAGCUUCCUCGAAGUCUUCCCCUUGAGAACUUAGGACUUCAACAAAGUAAUACACUUGAUUUUUCACUCAAUGCACUUAAAAGAAACAUUCUUCAGUGAACAAGAAUGAGUGCUCUCAGUUCAGUAUAUCACCUACGCAAGUCUUAUCUAUUUAUAAAGAAUUAAGACUUGCUAACAUAAUACAUCAAUUAUAAGUAAUUUUCCCAUGUAACAAGCAAGAUAAACGAGCAUAAAGAAUAUUCUUUCAUGUUUCCAGUAAUAUAUCAUGUAUUAAGUUUUUCUUCUGUAAUUUAGAAAUUAUUUAAUUUCUUAGAAACCAUUUCAUGAUGCAAGUUGUUUCAUAUAUUAAAUAAUUCUUCCAUGAUUUAUGAAUUACUUAAUUCUUUAGACACCAUUUCAUGAUUCAUGUAAUGUUUCAUGUAUUAAGUAAUUCUUCCAUGAUUUUGGAAUUACUUAAUUUCAUAGAAAAUACAAAUUACUUAAUUUCUUAAAAAUCAUUUCAUGUUAUAUAUUAAGUAGACUGUCCAUGGGCCGGGCGGCCCGGCCCGGCCCGGCCCGAUGGCCCGCCCGAAAUAUGGGCUUGGGCAAAAAAAGAGGCCCGUUUAAAAAAUGGGCCAGGCCUCGGGUAGAAUUUUUUUGGCCCGGGCCCGACCCGAAAAUAUAUUAAAUAUAUAUAUUAAGUUUUUUAUGUUUUAAGUUUUUUAUGUUUAAAAAAAUAUAUAUUUAUUUUUAUGUUUAAGUUUUUAGUUUUAGUUUUCAAUUUCAUUUCCCCUGACAGUUUAAGUUUUCAAUUUCAUUUCCCCGACAUUUACUCUUCUUUUCUAAAAUAUAUAUAUAUAUAUAUAUAUAUAUUUAUUUUUAUGUUUAAGUUUUUAGUUUAAGUUUUCAAUUUUAUUUUUAUGUUUUCACUGUAGAAAGGAAGUCAAGGCAUGAUAACAAUUGAAAGUGAUAACAUUGGUAUUUGGUAAAUCCUGCACAUAGCAAUUGACAGGAUAGCAAUUGAAAGUGAUAACAUUGGUGUAAUAUUGGUUGGAUAUUGGUUGGUUUUAAGAUAAAAAAAAUGUGAACUUAUUUGUUUACAAAAAUAUUUGAUAAUACAAAAAUGUAAACUAAUCAAAUUUUAGAUUUUGUUACAACAAUUAAUAUAAUUAACAAUUAAUACAAUUAAUAAUUUGAUAAUUUUACUAAUCAAAUGUUAGAUUUUAUUACAACAAUUAAUACAAUUAACAAUUAAUAAUUUAAUAAUUUUACUAACAAUUAAUUUUAAUAACAAUUAGUUUUAAUUUUAUCAAAAAAUUAAUUUUAAUUAAAAACGGGCCGGGCCAAGCCGGGCUCGGGCCCCAUAUUUUUUCUUCGAACCCGGCCCGGCCCAUGGACAGGUUUAAUAUUAAGUAAUACUUUCUAAUUUUAUGAAUUACUUAAUUUCUUGGAAACCUUUUCAUGUUUUAAGUAACAUUUAAUGGAUUAAGUAAUUCUUUCAUGAUUUAGGAAUAACUUAAUUUCUUAGAAACCACUUCAUGUUUUACAUAAUCGUUUAUGUUUUAAGUAAUUUUACCUGAUUUAAGAAUUAUUUAAUUUCUUAGAAACCUUUUUCACAUUUUAAGUAACAUUUCAUGUAUUAAGUGAUUCGUUUAUGAUUUACGAAUUGCUUAAUUUUUUAAAAAUCUUUUCAUGUUUUCACCAACAUUUCAUGUAUUAAGUAAUUAUUCCUUGAUUUAAGUAAUUUCUUAAAAAAAAAUCAUAUUAAGUAAUUCUUCUAUUAUUCACUAAUUAAUUAAUUUUUUUAAAACAUUUUUUAUAUUUUAAGUAUUUACUUAAAAAAAUUUUUGAACCAUUUCACUUGAAACCAAGAUAUCUGGGUUUUUCUUUUUUAAAGAAAUUCAGUGGUUUAGAUUUUAAUUUUUUUUCUCUAACGCUGACAAUAUUUUUAAGGAAGCCCACAUUAGAUUUGCUCUUUUUAGAAUUUUCCAACCCCUACUUCUUUUUAUAAACAAGAGUAGUCACUCUGUCUAAUCUAGCUAGGAAUUCUAAGCUUUGAUGCCACUGAUGACCUUUGGUCUGGAAUAUUGAAAAUGGUAAGAGAGCAAUGAAACGGAAGAAAAAUAAGAGAGAAUCACCAAUAGAUGGUUGGAAGAAUACCAAACAAAAGUAGCUCAGCCAUAAAACAGAAGUUACUCCAUUACCAUAUUCCAAGAUUGUAGCCAUAAAAAUUUUCAAUUUUACCAUGUGCUGCCCAGCAAGGUUAAGUUUAUAAAACGCAUCCACAAAAAUGACAGUUUUUUUGUUGGAAGCCUAGUAAACAUAUAAUCCAAAUAACUUUAUUACUAACACAAUUAUUACACAAUAAUACCAAUAUUUUCUUUCUCACGAUGACUAGCUGCUGCUAGUAUUUUACACUUGGCUGAUACUUCACAUGCACACACAUACAUUACUUACAUGUAUAGCAUAGUUAACCGACUUCAAACUAGCCGUCAUUCUUAUCCAUUCGCUUAGAGUUUGUAGAAUCAUGUAGAACCAAUCUUGCCGCCUUUCCUUGCUUUGCCAAGUUGUUCGGUUUGUCGUCAACAUUUUUGACAGGCAAGCUGGUAUCAAUAUCUGAAGAACCUGUAUAAAGUAGGAAGAAAUGACAGUUUUUCAGCCAUACUUGAACAGUUUUCCCUUUAGUCCUGCUUAGUUUUACCAUGGAUAAGUUGCUGCCAUUGUCCUCCACCUUCCUCGUCUUCAUUUUCAUGGUGUUUAAGCUGAGAUCCAAAAUGGAGACACCCAAAAAUUUGCAUAUCGCGGAUUUAAAUCAAUGCCUUUUAUAUUAAUAAAAUUUUGAUUUUACCGCUAAACAAAAUUUGUUUUUUUUUUCAACCAAAACUUUAUUAUAAUAUAUUUUAUGCAUUCCAAUAUUUAUGUAUUCUUUUAUGACUGUAUAUCUAAUUUAAUCUAAUAUAAUACUUAUAUUUAAGCACUUAAUUAAAUCAGUGUCACCUUUAAUUGUAUCAUUUUAAUGAGUUAUUGUCACUCUGCCACCAACACAAUUAUAAAAUUUUAGAAAUACUGAUUUUUUAAAUUAUAAUUUUUAUUUUUCAUACUUUUAUAUUAUUACAAAUCCAAGGAUCGAAUAUGUGUUCUAUAGUGUGAAAGAUACAAAUUCAUUACUCCACCUAUUUUUAUUAUUAAAUAAAAUUUUAAAAAAUAUUUUAUAGAAUAUUUUCUUAGGCUCACAAAAAGGGUGUGACAAAAUCUAGUAUUGAUGAUGUUAUUGAUUAAGUUGUUGUGGCGAGUUAAUUCAACACUAAUUCAAAAUUGAUAGUAACACAAUUAUAAACAAUUGUAGCAUAUUUAUUAUUUUUAAUCUAAUGUGUUUAUGUAUUCAAAUUCCAUACUCAUAAUAUGAUCUAUUUUUCUUAUUUUAAUAUAGUAUUAUUAAUUGAUUUAAAACCAUAUAUUUCAUUCUGUUGAGUAUUAUCUUCUAUGGUUGUUUCUUCGUGAUAUAUUUCCAAUCUCAUUAAAAGUAAACUGUAUUAUCUCCAAGAUCAGAUUCUAGUGUUCAUUUGGGUAGUUUUCUAAAACUAAAUGAUUUCCCAUUUUAGGCCCCGGCAUUGUUUUUUAUCAAUAUGAAAUUGCAAUAUUGUACCAACAAAAUUAUUCAAUUUUGUCAUGUUCUGGUGCAAACGAUAAUAUUUUUAGGGCAUCAGCUUUGUCAGGAAAGCAUAUUUCAAUAUCAGAAACCUGCAUAAAUUAAGAAGAAACUAAAUUUUCUCAGCAACACAUGAACAGUUAAGUCUUGCAUAAGUUUACCAUGGGUAAGUUGCUCCCCUUGUCCUUCACUUUCCUUGUGUUCAUUUUCAUGGUGUUUAAGCUAUGGAUGAGAUCCAAAAUAAAGGAAGCACCCAAAAAUCUACCUCCUGCACCAUGGAAACUACCUAUUAUAAGGCACUUGCAUCUUUUAAUCUUUGCUCUUCCCCAUCAGCGCUUAACGGAAUUAGCCAAAAGACAUGGUUCCCUAAUGCACCUAGAACUUGGUGAAGUAUCACACGUUGUUGUUUCUUCUCCAGAGGCAGCUAAAGAAGUGAUGAUAACACAUGAUAUCAGUUUUUCUAACAGGCCCUUUCUCCUUGGUGCAGAAAUCGUAUCAUACAAUCUUUCAGAUAUUGCUUUUGCACCAUAUGGAAGCUGUUGGAGGCAACUUCGAAAAGUUUGCACAUUGGAGCUGCUCAGUUUGAAACGUGUACAAUCAUUCCGUUCAGUCAGAGAAGAGCAGGUGUCAAGUUUAAUUAGAUCCAUCUUUUCUAAGACAGGAAAGGAAAUCAACCUUGGAGAAAUGUUAUGCAAUUUAUCAUAUAACAUCACUUUAAGGACUGUUCUUAUGAAAUAGUGUAGUAUCUAACAGCCUGGCAUGGCAUGGCAUAUGGUAUGGUUGUUAUCGAGCUUUCCCUUGCAAAAUUACUAUCCCAUUUUGAUUGAAAACUCCCUAAUGGAAUGAAAAAUGAGGAUCUAGACAUGACUAAAGCUUUUGGUGCUUCAGCAAAAUAGGUUUUUAGCGACAUUUUUAGUGGCGUUUUGACGAAAGACGCUAGAUCGAGCAUUAGCGGCGCUUUUUGAAAAAUGCCGCUAUAGAUCGAGCACAACGCCUUAGUGGCAUUAGCAACGCUUUUCGAAAAACGCCGCUAUAGAUCAAGCACUAGCGGCGCUUUUUUAAAAACGUCGCAAGAAACAUUUUAUUUGUCUAUUUAUUAUUUAACUGGUUUAUUUAUAUUUAUUAAAAUACAAUUUCUUUUUAAUUGAAUAUUUAAAUUCUUUAGAAAAAAUAGUGACACAUAGAAAAAAUUUGAAAUUAAAAACUUAGAAAAAUAUUUGUUAAAAAUGAAAAAAAUUAAAAUACUAUUAUUUAAAAUAAUUUUAAAGUUUUUUGGGUACAUGACUGAUUGUUUUUUUAAUUUAUAUAUUAAAUAAUUUCUUAUAUAAUCAUAAAAGAGAUAGUAUUAAUUUUAAAAUAUUGAAUUAAUUAUCAUUAUAGUUUAGGGUUUAUGGUUUAGGGUAUAUAGUUUAGGGUUUAAGGUUUAGGAGUUACUAUUUUAAGGUUUAUGGAUUAUGGAUUUAGGGAUUAUGGUUUAAGGGUUGGGGUUUAAUGUUUAGGGGUUAAGGGUUUAAGGUUUGUCAAGAAAGCAUAUUUCAAUAUAAAAAACCUGCAUAAAUUAAGAAGAAAUGAAAUUUUCUAAGCAACACAUGAAUAGUUAAGUUGUUGAAGUUGGCCUGCAUGCUGAUAUGAAGCAAUAGAAACUGCCUGAGUCAUGCAGUUGCAGCUGAAGUUCAAGUUGCUGUUUUGUUUUGUUACUUUCAAAUUGGUGUUUUGUAACUUAGUUAAAAUCAAACCAAGUUGUACUUGAUGAUUAGGUGCUGAUAAACUGUUAAAUCAGCUUACCUAUGUGUGCAAGUCAUGUUUUGUAAGUUACAAUGUUAUUAGUGGAGUUAGGUAGUAUUUAGGUGAUGAUUUUGUUUGUCCUGACCAAUUCAUGUUUGGUAUUUGUAUUGGCACUAUGCCAUUUUUCAAAUUAAUUAAAAAUUCAGAAAGAAUUCUUCAUCUAUACUCUCUCAAUCUUUGUUUUCAUCUGGUUCUUAAAUGCUUGAUUCUGUUAUUGUUUAUACUGCAAGUCUUGAGCCUUAAAGCUCGAGAAACUAUUUUAUUUCUUUUAUUCUUGCUCAUUGUUCCAACAAUUGGUAUCUAGAGCCUAUUUCUCAGUGGACCUAUCAGUUUUUCAAGUCAAGGAACAAUGUCUUCAUCUGGAUUCUCACCAGCUCCACCACCAGUGUUCAAUGGUGAAGGCUACCACAUUUGGGUAGUGAAAAUGAAGCCCUACCUGCAGGUAUUCGACUUGUGGGAGGUUGUUAACUCAGAUGUUGAACCAACACCUCUAAGAGCCAAUCCUACAGUGGUUCAGAUCAGGCAGCAUGCAGAUGAAAAAACCAAUAGACACAAGGCUAUGUCUUGCAUCCAAAACAAUGUGUCUGAUGUGAUUUUCACAAGAAUCAUGGCUUGUGAUUCACUAAAGCAGGCCUGGCAUAAGUUGAAGGAGGAGUUUCAAGGGACUGAAAGAACAAGACAGCAACAACUACUGAAUUUGAGAAGGGACUUUGAAAACUUGAAGAUGAAGGAGGAAGAAACAGUGAAGCAAUAUUCAGACAGAAUCAUGGUUGUAGUGAACAACAUCAGAUUGCUUGGGGACCAAUUUAGUGAAGCAAGAAUUGUAGAGAAGGUUAUCUCAACUUUACCUUAAAGAUAUGAAGCCAAGAUCUCAUCUCUUGAAGAUUCAAGAGAUCUGACAAACAUCUCUUUGACUGAGCUGAUCAAUACUUUUUAUGCACAAAAGCAAAGAAGGGCCAGCAAGCAGGAGGAGCAUCAAGAAGGUGCUUUCUAAGCCAAGAAAGGCCUGGCUUGACAAGCCUAGAAGAUAUGGAGCAGAAAAGAGAUAUCCACCUUGCCCACACUACAAAAGACUUAGUCAUCCAGCUAAAAAUUAUUGGUUUAGGCCUAAUAUGCAGUGCAAAGUCUGUAAAAAGAUGGGCCACUCUGAGAAAGUUUGUAAAAACAAAGGCAAACUGAUACAAAGUUAAUCUCAACCACCAAAAGAUGAAGCUCAAGUGGCAGAACAAGAUAGUGACUAGGAAGAGCAAGUCUUUGCAGUGUCUUACUCAGCUGCCAAAGGAAAAGUCACAAAAGGAUGGCUGAUAGACAGUGGUUACACAAACCACAUGACUCCUAAUGUUGCAAUCUUCAAAAGCAUUGACAGAAGCUUCAAAACAAGGGUAAAAUUUGGAAAUGGACACUUCAUCAAAGCAGAAGGCAAAGGAUAUGUGUUGAUAGACACCCCCACAGGUAACAAACUAGUUUGAAAUGUCUUGUUUGUGCUUGAAAUUGACAGAAACCUCCUCAGUAUAGCUCAACUGCUAGAAAAAGGGCUAUUCAGUUGUGUUCAAAGGCAAUGAAUGCCUGAUCAGUGAUCCAAGUGGAUCUAAGCUUAUGUCAGUAACUACAGCUGAUAGAAGCUUUGUAGUAUACUGGAAUAAAAGCCCAAACAGUGCCUACACAAUAGUGCUUGAUGAAUCCAAGCUGUGGCACAAGAGGUUAGGCAAUGCCAACUACAACACACUGGCUCAACUAACCAAAGAAGAUUUGGUUGAAAACUUUACCAAUUCUGUUGAGAAGGAGGAUGUUUGUGAGGUAUGUAAAUUAGAAAAGUAGCCCAUACUGCCAUUUCCCUUGAACAAGGCCUGGAGAGCCUCAGAAAAACUAUAGUUGGUUCAUACUGAUGUGUGUGGCCCUAUGAAAACACCAUCAUUGAAUGGUAGAAGGUAUUUCAUUUUUUUUAUUGAUGAUUACUCGAGGUAUUGUUGGAUUUAUUUCUUAAAACAAAAAUCAGAAGUGGCCUCAGUAUUUUAGAAGUUCAAGGUUGCAGUAGAAACAGAAAUAGGUUGCAAGCUGAAGAUAUUGAGGCCCAACAAUGGGACUGAGUAUACCUCAGCAAUGUUUCAGAGUUUCUGUGAUGAAAAAGGCAUCAAGCAUCAGCUUACCAACACCUAUACACCACAACUGAAUGGUGUUAGUGAAAGAAAGAACAGAAGCUUGAUGGAUAUGGCAAGAUGCCUAUUGUUCGAGAGGAAUUUGCCAAAAACCUUGUGGGCUGAGGCAGUUAGCACUGCUGUAUAUCUGUAAAAUAGACUGCCAACAAAGACAUUGGCUCAUAAAACUUCAUCUAAAGCCUGGUUUGGGUUCAAACCGUCACUGGCUCAUCUGAGGGUCUUUGGCUACAUAUGCUGUGCACAUGUCCCUAUAGUUAAGAGGGAUAAUUUAACCAAAAAAGCACAACCAGGUAUCCUGGUAGGCUAUAGUAGUUUGAAGAAAGGCUAUAGGAUCCUAGAUCCUUCAACUAACAAAAUCUUUGUAAGUAAAGAUGUUGUGUUUGAUAAGAAGAUAGGAUGGAAUUGGGAUAAAAAUGAACCAUAAGCUGCUACUGAAGAUCUGCUGACUGAUCAGACUGAAGCCGAUCAAAAUGAUCCUGAAACGGAUAUUGACCAUGAACCAAUCAGGGGAACCAAAUCUUUGAGUGAAAUUUAUGAAAGAGCUGAAGUGGCUACAGUUGAACCAAGUUGUUUUGAAGAAGCUGAAUCUCACAAAGAAUGGAAACAGGCUAUUCUCGAUGAAAUAAGCAUGAUUCAUAAGAACCAGACUUGGAAACUUGUUGACAAACUAGCCAACAGGAAGGUUAUUGGGUGAAAUGGGUAUUUCGAGCCAAGCACAAUACUGAUGGAACUCUGAACAAGCUAAAGGCAAGGUUGGUAGUGAAGGGAUCUAGUCAGAAGUAUGGCAUUCAUUACUUCGAGACAUUUGCACUAGUGGCCAGGCUUGACACAAUUAGAUUGUUGGUUGCUUUGGUUGCACAAAAGUAGUGGAAGAUACAUCAACUUGAUGUAAAUUCGGCUUUUCUCAAUGGUUUUCUUGAAGAAGAGAUUUAUGUCGAGUAGCCUGAAGGUUUUAAAGCUGCGGUGAAGUGGAAAAAGUGUACAAACUAAAGAAAGCCUUGUAUGGCUUAAAACGGGCACCAAGAGCAUGGUAUGACAGAAUCGUUGGCUACCUAGCUAGCUUGGGGUUCGAGAAAAGCAUCACUGAGCCAACCUUGUAUGUGAAGAAGAAAGGUGUUGAAAUACAACUUGUGGUAUCCCUGUAUGUUGAUGACCUAUUUGUGAUAGGUGAAAGUCAUGAAUUGAUGGCUGAUUUCAAAGGAAAAAUGGAGAAAAAGUUUGAGAUGUCUGAUUUGGGAUAAAUGUCCUACUUCCUGGGCAUGGAAGUUUCUCAAACUUAACAAGGGAUGUUCCUAAGUCAGAAGGCAUUUGCCUUGAAGAUUCUGAACAAAUUCUCCAUGCUAAACUGCAAGGCAACAAGCACACCAGCUGCUGUUGGAGAAAAACUAUCAAGCCAAGCUGAUUGUGGAAAGGUUUGUGAAUCAACCUAUAGGAGUUUGAUUGGAUGCCUCCUUUAUUUGACUGCAACCAGACCAGACGUUAUGUUUGCUGUAAGUCUACUAUUCGAUUCAUGCAUUGCUACAAUAUGAAGCACUUCCAAGCUGCCAAAUGAGUUUUCAGAUACAUCAAAGGUACAUUGAGCUUUGGAAUGAUGUUCACCAAGGCUGAAAGCAUGAAAUUGCUUGGAUAUGUUGAUAGUGAUUGGGCUGGAUUGAUAGAUGAUAUGAAAAGCACCUUAGGGUAUCUGUUUACCCUUGGCUCAACCAUUUUUUGAUGGAGUUCAAAGAAGCAAAUAUUGGUUGCUCAAUCAACAGUUGAGACAGAAUAUAUAACAGCUACUAGUACUGUUAACCAAGCUAUUUGGCUAAGAAAGAUCAUGACAGAGCUGAAUCUACACCAAAGGGAAGCAACAAAUAUCAAAUGUGACAACCAGUCUGCUAUUGCAAUUACAAAGAAUCCAGUGUUCCAUGGGAGAAUAAAGCAUUUCAAGAUCAAGUUUCAUUUUGUUAGGGAAAUGGAACAAGCUCAAGAGGUGAAACAGAUUCAUUGCAGUUCUGAGGAUCAAUUAGCUGAUAUCCUGACAAAACCUCUUAGUGUAUCAAGGUUCGAGCACUUGAGAAUGAGAUUGGGAGUUUGCAGCACGUAAGCCAAGGAGGAGUGUUGAAGCUGGCUUGCAUGCUGACAUGAAGCAACGGAAACUGUCCGAGUCAUGCAAUUGCACCUAAAGUUCAAGCUGCUGUUUUGUUUUGUUACUUUCAAAUUGGUGUUUUGUAUCUUAGUUAAAAUCAAACCAAGUUGUACUUGAUGAUUAGGUGCUGAUAAACUGAUAAAUCAACUUACCUAUGUGUGCAAGUCAUGUUUUGUAAGUUACAAUGUUAUUAGUGGAGUUAGGUAGUGUUUAGGUGAUGAUUUUGUUUGUCCUGACCAGCUCAUGUCUGGUAUUUGUAUUGGCACAAUGCCAUUGUUCAAAUUAAUUAAAAAUUCAUAAAGAAUUCUUCAUCUAUACUCUCUCAAUCUUUGUUUUCAUCUGGUUCUUAAAUGCUUGAUUCUAUUAUUGUUUAUGCUGCAAGUCUCGAGCCUUAAAGCUCAAGAAACUAUUUUGUUUCUUUUAUUCUUGCUUAUUAUUCCAACAAAACAUAAUCUUCCUUACCAGCACAUGCAAAAAAUUAAUUUCUUUUAUGGCUAGAAUCUCAGAAUAUCGUAUAAGAGGCAUAACCAUGGAGAAUCCAUUUCUUUUAUCAAUAUUAUCACGUGUCUUCAUUAAUGGAACUUGGUUUAAAUAUUUAUAGCAAAGAUUUUUAAUGAUACACCAGCUAAGAUACUUGAACUCUUUUAUGUUAAGCAAACUACCCGAAAGAAUAAUUGAAAUUGAUAUCCGAUAAAAUACAAUUGUAUUCCAAUUAAAUGGAAGAUAGAUUUAAAAAGAAAAGGCAUAUCACAUAGAAACAACCAUUGAAGAUAAAUAGAUAAUACUCGACUUCUAAAAUGAAAAAAAAACUCAUUUUGGACUAAAGAUAAUCAAAGUGAGGCAUUGAACAUGAAAUUCAAUCUAUAUAAUCUGCAUAUAAGGCAAACUAUCUUAAAAUUUCAAGCAGACUCAUAGAAAAGCAUGCAUGUAGCUAAAACUUCAAGCAUUAUUAUACUAACAUUAACUGAAUCUCUCAAUUUUUCAGCACUUGGUAUGUCAACAUUGCGACACCAAAAAGACAUUUAACUUAUCUAAAGCCUUGUGGUAUUCGAAGGUAUUUCAAGAAAACGAUGCCCUAUAUAUAUCAUACAUAAGAUUGAAAUCAUAAUCAUAUGGAAAAACUUUGGGGACUUCUAGUGUAAUCAACGUAAUUUUUUUCUAUUUCCAAGCAGUUGAUAUCUUUAACCUUUCAUUCUUAUCUGAAAGCUAACACUGAGGUGGACACAAGAGGGCUCUCAGGUGGACAACAGAUGUUCCGGCACAGUAGAGGUCAAACUCAGGUCUCGUGGCAACGAUUAUAAUUAUUAAUGGGUUAUUUAAUAACGUCGACUGUCUUCACCCCAAAAGGAGCAUCACCUUUAUAGCACUGCAACAAUCGCUUCCUGCCUAAGAGUCCUCGUACGUCCACGACGGUGUUGGCCUUCAAAUAAGAAAGAAUGUUAAAGAUACCGGUUGCUUGAAAAUGGAGAAAAAAGUUACACCGAUUAUCGCAGGGAUCCCCUGAGUUUUUCCGUAUGAUUAUGAACUCAGACUUCUGUAUGGUAUUUAUAGGGCAUCAUUUUCGGGUAUCUGAAUAUAUUGAGUUCGUGUCAGUGGCCAAUACUGAUCGAGGUUUAAGCAUAACCCAAAUUUAGACACUCAGGCAUGACAUUCAAUCAGUGCGGUCGAUUUCAACUUCAGCACUAGGUUGAUGUCAUGGUGUAGAAGCAUGUAUACGAGGGGAUCAUCGACAUACAUUAGACAUAAAACUAGUGUAUUUUUUUACGAGCACGUGGGUUAUAGGAGAACCAAUAACCUACUUAUUUCAACUGGGACCAGGGAGGGUAUGUCAAACCCUAUGCUCGAAGGUGAUAAUGAAGGCAUAGAUGAGAAAAAAGAGAAAAAGAUGCAGCCCAUGAAGAACUUAUAGGUGAAGAAGAAAGGGUGGCCGAGGAAAAAGAUUUAGGUGAGGAAAAAGAGGCAGUAAAUGCAGUUGAUGGGGAGGAGUUAGACCCUGAGCCAAUCCGACAGCGCGAUCUAGAUGGUUCAGAAGUGGCACUAUUUUCCAAAACGGAGUUGGUUCCAACGAAGCUGGAACCUUACGGGUCCAAUAAUUACAUAUCGAACAAUUCUCUAAAUCCAGAUUUGUGAUUCAAGGCAUAUGAACUUCUACCCUUACAUAAUGAACAUCAACCUAUCGGUCGAGGGUGAUUUAGAGUCACAGAACCUAUGCCCCACUCGCGUCAUGGGCAUCAUAUCGUGUGAAACUAACAACAGGGACUUACAAUUGUGGGAGAUUUGAAGCACUUCGAUUCCCAUGUGCACAUGGAAUUACCGCAUGUGGGAACAUACGAAUUGAGUAUGCGCCUUACAUCUACUAACUAUAACGUAUUUACGGUGUGUGGAGUCUUGAAUUCCCACCCAUCCCAUAUGAAAGUAUGUGGCUGCUAGUGUCCAGCACGUCAUAGGAAUCGGCGCCGAACAAGAACCUGCGUCGUAUCCCGAAAGGUUGCCUGAAUUUCUCCUAGAUAAGAAACAAUAUAGAUAUUCGGGAGAGGAGCAGUCAACAGAGAUUAUAUGGGCACUAUUGAAACCCAGGGCAUAUGAAGACAACAUGUUAUCUGUACAAGGGUAUAUUGGGGCCUCAACGUCAAUAGCAUUAUUUUCUUCCAAAUAAUAUAUUCAUUAAAAUGCUUUCAUUAUUCAGGUGUUCCAAAUUUUUUAUUUCUUGUUCACUUACGCAUAACUCACAUUAGACAAUAAUGAAGACAAAUGUGAUGUUCGAAUGAAAAACCUCAGUUUAUUAAUUUAUGUCAUAUAUAUUUACAUCGCAUUAUUUCGAAAAAAAUACAUAAAUCAUUCGUUGUUGAAAAUGUGUGCCACAAGGCGAUGGAUGACGGUUGCGUGGAGGAUUUCUAUAGAGGACCGAAGGUUUGGGCCUAUAGACUUUCUUGUCAGCAUCAUCAUCACCUUCACCCACACCUAGCAAUGGCCCCUAGGCUUCGUCUCCGGCUAUGUCGGAGUCAUCAACGUCCUGCAUGGUUGACUGCUUUGUCGUCCUAGCCUCCCAUCGUGCAUUCUCCACUCCUGCGGUCAAUGGUUGUGUCGAUGAGUCACCCCAAUAAAAUAGUGAUGCGGGUGGUGUUUGUGCCAUAAUUGACGUGAAACCAUAAGGUUCCCCUAAUUCCAGGUACAUCGAUAUUGUCCCCGACAUCAAAAUUGGUAUCGACUACUGCAUGGGUGUCUGUAUCGAUGUCUUCAUUGGGGGCGAUGCAUGCGCUGGCAUCUAGCCAGGCAUCUAGGUCGGCAUCGACAUCGGCAUGGGAGCUGAAAAAUAGAUGGGAUGCCAUUACCCUAAAAUAUGUACCUAUGAGAAUAGAAGAAUCGACCACGUAUAAUGGUGGUGUGUAGUGCGAUGCUUGUGAAAAAAAUAUAGGGUUAGUGAAGUGAAGAGGAAUAAGUGAAGUGAAUUGAACCUAAUAUUGCAUAGACAAUGGCAGCGCUUCUUCUGUCGAAGCCGAUAACGAACCCAUCAUAUGACUGUACCCCUUCCUACAUUGCUACUGUGGAGUCGUCAUUGCCCCUUCGACCGAAUUUGCCUACUCCUCGCCACUUGCGAUAGAAUAUACGACUUCCCAGCGACUCUGAACCACGUCAUAUAAUCAAUAUCUAUUGUUAUUUCUACAGAGUGAAAUGGCUGGUAGACGAGUAAGGAUUCCAUCCUACGAUUCUAAGCCUGAAUGUGCUCAUUGUGCUUCUCUACCCAAUCCUUGUUGUUCUUCCCCUGCAUGUCCACCUUCUUCAGCUUCUUUAUGUCUCGCGAUGGUGGCGAAAUCCACUGCCUCCACCUGAACUAUUGUAACACCCGAUCUGAUUCGUACAUUUCUACCGUCGCGUGCACUAUCAAUGAUACCUUCGCAUCCCACAUCUCUCAAUUAGCAAACACUACCAGUGGGAUGCAAGAUAUGAUAACGGUGUUGGCGUACGACAUCCAUUCAAACUGAAAAGUAGAAUUGCAAAUAUCGUUACAUACGAUUUUUUACUAAUCAUUGCAGAAUUGAUAUAGGUUAGAAAGAAUAAGUAAUUAACCUCAGCUUCAGAGCAUUGAUCUAACAACAGCCUAAAAUCUUCAAGCUCAUCGGACAAUCCCAUGUAACUUGGCUUAUGGUUCCACCUGUACAGGUGAUAUGUUAGUCGAAACAUAUAAUCAAUAAAAGUAUAUACUAUACAAACUACCUAUUUAUUAAUAAGUGGUGUUUAUCGCACUACCGAUUGACAUCAUAUUGGGUACCAUGGCUCGACACGGCUCCCAAUGUAACGUGGAUAAGACAACAGAUCUCCAACUUAGUUUUUUGCAUUGAUUGAAGGCCACUAGAUAUUGUAGUCACCUUAUGUGCAAAAAAUUUCAAGAUUUAUCGGGCAUUAAAAUGCCCUUGAUUAAUCUAAUGGUGAAUGUUUGGGCGUAUUGUUCUAUGACCUCCUCUGUUAGGUCAUCAAGAAGUUCUUCGAAAUUAUCCUCCAACAAGUUUAUCAAUGUUUGACCACCAUCAAACUUGUCUAGAACCUUCCCCAACAUUGCUUUGCAAAGGUCGAAUUUAUCGGGAACGAUCAUUGAUCCCGUGAUGACUGGCCCAUCCACGGACAGCUCUAGUUGUAACAUUAUGUCCUCGAGUGUGAUUGUACACUUGACGCAUGGAAGGUGGAAAGUAUGCGUUUUGGGCCUUUGUGUUACGGGCCUCCAUCUUUCCACCAAUGCGCUGAUUAGUGUAGGAUCGAGUUUGCUAGCCCCGAGUAUGCGAGAUGUAUGUAAGAAUCCAACCUCUUGCAAGUAGCCAUGAAUUUGAGGGAUAAGAGGCUUUCCCAUAUUAUGUAUGAACCCCUCCAAAACACAAUCAUCCGCCUAUUUAUAACAUAAAAAAAUUAUUUCAAAUUAUCAAAAAAAUUAAUUAAAUUUAACAUAAUUGAAAUAACGAAAUUUAAAAUUUCAUCUUACCAUUGCUGCUUGGGCGGCGAAAAUAUGUUUGUCAUCGAAACGAAUUAGAGAGGCGGCCAUUCGUGAGAAAUUAAUCCGAAAGAAUAAAAUACGAGAUAAUUAAAAAUAAGAUUUUUAAAUGAGAAUAUCGAUAAAUUUAGAACAAAAAGAUUGAGAGAGUUAACAGAGUUUGAAAGAGUUGAAAGAAUGAUGUGAAAGAAAGAAAUGAAAUUUGGGGGGUAUUUAUAGGUUAAAAAAAGUGACCAUUGCCCCUUUGAUUUUUUUUUACCGUUAUAGUGCCAACAUUCAAAAAGCCAUUGGUUUUUUACCAUUGAGGGAAAGCACGUCCAGUUGGCAUAGCAACCAAUAAGGCAACCCACAUGUAGUUCAUACUGAUAUAACACAAUUUUUUAUAUGCUACGUUAACAAAUAAUUAUACAAUUAUAAAAAUAUUCAAAAAAAAAUCAAAAGGAUGUAUAAAAAGUUCAUAAAAUUUUAAAAAGAAACAUGGAAGUACAUGUGAAUUAUCAUACAAGGCGCAAUGUUUAAAAUUUUAAUAUUUUAGUCCAUAAUUUGACAAAAAAAUUAUUUUGCACUUUUUAAAAGUUGAAUUUAGCUUCUUCUUUUUAAAGGUUAAAGGUCAAAUUUAGUUUAAAAAAUAAAAUAAAAACUCAAAAGCUAAAUUUAAUAUUAUGCCAAUUUAAAAUUAAAUUAAUUUCAUUUCAUUUUUAGUGAUGUAUGGUAAUAUAAUUUAGUAACUAUACAUAAACUUAACUCAUCUUUUUAGGUUAAAUUCGACUAUUAGCCCCAUGUACUUAGCAAAAGUUAUGGAUUUAAUUUAUGUACUUUUAUUUGUCAUUUUAGUCCCUGAACUUUUCAAAUUUUAAAUUUCCAAUCCUCACGAAACAGUGAUUAUUAAAUUCAUUAAGUAGAGUUAUGCUAUUUCAAAAAUUUGAUGUGUCAAACAUAUUAUCAUACUUGUAAUGUCAUGUCAGCUUAUUAUUUGCACAUGUUCGGAUGGUCAUCCUAAAAGGAAAAACGUGGAAGUCAAGUUAAACAAAAUAUAUCUUCUUUAUAGAAGAUUUAGUAUUUAUGAGUAUAAUAUAUUUAGCAUUUAUUAGCAUAAUAUAUUUGACUUUGAUUAGAAUUAGGUUUUUUUAACCUAUAAAUAGAUGUAGUUGAAACUCUUCUUGUAAUUAAUUGAAUUUAACAUAGUGAAUUUUCUUCUCAUCUGCCCGUGGUUUUUUUCCCGAAAGGGUUUCCAUGUAAAAAUCUGUGUGUUCUUUAUUUUUAUUUCUCUUUUCUUUGCGAUAUAUUGUCAUUAUCGACGUUCUAUUUUUACAAAUUGGUAUCAAAGCUUCCAAGUUGUUCAUCUCAAUCACGGUAAUAGCAUCUUUGAAGUAUGAAAUUUCACUGUUGGAUCGCAACACUAGAUUUACGUUGUGGCAGAUUAAGAUGCAAACAGUUCUUGUGCAGAUGAAUCUAGAGGAUGCCCUGCUAUGGAUAGAUAAGAUGCCUUUGACAUUAACAGAUGAAGAGAAGAAGCAUAAGGAUCGAAGAGAAGACCGCCGCUGCAUUAUGGAAGAGGCUGGAACAAAUAUGUAUGUCGAGAACUCUAACCAGCAAGUUGCAUAUGAAGAAGCGUCUUUAUGCUCAUCGUUUGGAGAAUGGUGUAUCUGUGCACAAACACUUAACAGUAUUUAAAGAAAUUCUCUCAAACUCGGAGGCCAUGGAGGUUCAGUAUGAUAAGGAAGAUCUAGGGUUGAUUCUACUUUGUUCGUUGCUCCCAUCUUAUUCAACCUUUAGAGGCACGAUUUUAUAUAGUCAUGAGUCUCUCACAAUUGAUGAGGUUUAUGAUUCUUUGACCUCGUAUGAUAAGAUGAAGCAUCUUAUGGUUAAACCCGACUCUAAGGGAGAUAGUCUUAUUGUUCAUGGGAGACAAGAAUGGAAUGCUGAUGAUGAUCGUGGAAGGACACAAGAACAGAAUCCUCGUGGUAAAUCUAAAGGUAGAUCAAAGUCUUCAAACAGAGUUAAACUUGUAACUUUUACAAGAAGAAAGAGCACAUUAAAUCUGAGUGCUAUAAGCUACAGAACAAGAUCAAAAGGGAGGCUACAAAUCGAAAUGGAAAACAACCUGAAAAUUCUGGUGAAGCUGAUGUUGUAGAAGACUACAUCGAUGGUGAACUUCUAGUCGCUUCUGUCAACAAUUCUAAAGUGAGCGAUGAAUGGAUCCUUGAUUCGGGUUGCACCUUCCACAUGAGUCCCAAUCAGGAUUGGUUUACAACUUACUAAAUAGUGUUUGAAUGUGUUGUUUUGAUGGGAAAUAAUGAUUCAUUUAAAAUUGCAGGUGUUGGAACAAUUAAAGUUAAGAUGUUUAUCGGAGUUGUCAAAACACUUAGUGACGUGAGGCAUGUUCUAGAAUUGAAAAGAAAUUUAAUUUUUUUGAGUACACUUGAUUCAAAAGGGUACAGAUACAUAGCUGAAAGUGGGGUUUUGAAGAUUUCCGAAGGUUCCCUCGAAAGGGCAGAGAAAGACUGCCAAGUUAUAUGUUUUGAAGGGUUCUACUGUUACUGGUGAUGCAGCUAUCGCUUCCUCUUCCUUUUUAGAUGAUGAUAUUACUAAACUUUGACAUAUGCGCCUAGGGCAUAUGAAUGAGAAUGGCAUGGCAGAAUUGAGCAAAAGAGGACUUCUUGAUGUGUAAGGAAUUUGCAAACUAAAGUUUUGUGAGCACUGCAUUUUUGGGAAGCAAAAGAGAGUUCGAUUCACUAGAGGCAUAAGCUAUGACUUUGCCUUCCUGGAACAAAACACAGCCCUAACCAUUUAAAGAUGCAUCACUAUAGAUUACAAAUUCUUUAAUUGAUUCUGGCUGAACUAACACGGGAGCUUCUGCCAACAAAGAUUUCAACUGAUCAAAAAUUUUUUGACACUUUUCCGACCACUCAAACUUAACAUCUUUCUGAAGUAGUCUCGUCAUCGGGGUUGCAAUCAUAGAGAAACCUUUUACGAAUCGUUUGUAAUAACCAAAAAGUCCCAAAAAACUUCAGACUUCAGAUACAUUUCUCAAAGGCUUCCAAUCUAAUAUUGCCGAAAUCUUGCUCGGAUCAACCCGAAUACCCGAUGCUGAUAAAACAUGUCCCAGAAAACUAACUUCUCAUAACCAGAACUCACAUUUACUGAACUUCGCAUAUAACUGCUUAUCACGCAAAGUCUGUAGUACUAAUCUUAGAUGUUCGGCAUGCUCAGAUUCAUCACGGGAAUAAAUCAAGAUAUCAUCUAUGAACACAACCAUAAAUCGAUCCAAAUACUGUCUAAAGAUCGAAUUCAUUAGGUCCAUAAAAGCAGUAGGUGCAUUUGUUAAUCCAAAAGGCAUAAGUAAAAACUCAUAAUGCCCAUACCUCGUUCUGAAAGUUGUUUUCGGAAUAUUAGAAUCUUUUACUCGUAGCUGAUAAUAGCCCGAUCUCAAAUCUAUCUUCGAAAACACAGUAGCACCUUUCAACUGAUCAAACAAAUCGUCAAUUCUGGGCAGAGGAUAUUUGUUUCUUUAUAGUCAUUUUGUUUAACUGAUGGUAAUCAAUGAACAUUCUCAUCGUGCCAUCUUUCUUUUUCACAAACAGAACCGGAGCACUCCAAGGAGAAAAACUCGAUCUAGCAACCCUCUAUCUUUCAUUUCUUGCAACUGAGCUUUCAAUUCUUUUAAUUCAGUCGAUGCCAUUCUAUACAGAGUUAUCGAAAUUGGAGUUGUCCCCUGUACUAACUCAAUACCAAACUCUACCUCCUGGAUUGGUGGUAAACCCGGUAAUUCUUCAGGAAACACAUCUGAAUACUCGCAUACAACUGGCACAACUGGUGCUGAUUCAAUCUUCUUUUCGGUCACUUUAGUGUCGAGUACAUAAGAAAAGUAAGCUUCAUAACCUUUUCUCACAUAUUUCUGAGCUAACAUCGAAGAAAUCACUAUCGGUAAACCAUUUAGAUCAUUAGACUUAAUCCGAAUUAUCUCAUCAUUCUGGCAUCGCAAUUCAAUAGUCUUCCCUUUGCAGUUCACAACAGCAUCAUAAAACGUUAGUCAAUCCAUACCCAGAAUUAUAUCAAAUGGAAACAACAUCAAAUCAGUCGAAAAACAUGAAUCUCAAAUCAUCAACGGGCAAUUCUUACAUACUUUAUCAACUAAGACACACCGGCCCAAGGGGUUUGAUACUCUAAUCACAAAUUCAGUAGACUCUACAGGCAAAGUCUUAUUGGAUACUAAAGUAUCACAUACAUAAGAAUGAGUCGAUCCAGGAUCUAUCAAUGCAAUAACACUAGUAUCAUAGAGAAUGAAAGUACCGGUAAUCACAUCUGGAGACGAAGUUUCUUCACGAGCUCAGAUGGCGUAGGCUUUAGCAGGUGCCUAGCCUCAGAUGGAACAGUUGUACCUUUUGUUGCUCUUUGACUUCCAUGCACAUUUCCCGUAUUUCUGGGAGGCCUACCUCUAGCUGAGGUGUUACUCGGUCUUGGAUUCUAUGCAAUCUCUUGCUCAGUAGACUCAGGACAGUCUCGAAUAAAGUGAUCUAAAAACCCACAUCUAAAGCAAGCUCGAUCAUUCAAUCUACGACUUCCGAAAUGUCUUUUACCAUAAUGCUUGCACUCAAGUUGGUCGGAUCGAACAUUUCCAACACUUACAAUUAAAGUAGCAGGAGCUUUGAAGCUCGAAUGCGAUCUAGCUCGAUCUCUGUUUGAAUGUCCUAUAUUAGCCUUUGAACGACUAUAAUCAUCUCAGAAUUUCUUGAUGCAGAUUGAAAUGAUUUACUCAAAGAUCUCUUUCUCACAUCUCUAGCUUCAGAAUCAGCUUUUCUUUUCUCUUUACCGAGUUCCUCAGCUUUGCAUGCUCGAUCAGCAAGUACAACAAACUUUUUUAUCUCCAGAAUACUGACUAACAGAUGAAUAUCUUCAUUCAGACCAUCUUCGAAUCUUUUACACAUUAUUUCUUCAGUGGAUACACAUUCUCGUGCAUAUCGGCUCAGUCGAACAAAUUCACGCUCAUAUUCCAUAAGAGACAUACGGCCUUCUUUUAGCUCCUGAAAUUCUUUACGUUUCUGAUCAAUAAAUCUCUGACUGAUAUAUUUCUUCCUGAAUUCAGAUUGAAAGAAAUCCCAGGUAAUUCAUUCUUUUAGAACAACAGAAGUCAGAGUUUUCCACCAUUGAUAGGUUGCAUCUCUCAACAAAGAAACGACACAUUUAACACAUUCGUCAGGAGUACACGACAUUUCAUCAAACACUAAGAUUGUGUUCUAAAGCCAAAACUCAGCUCUCUCAGCAUCAUCAUCAUUAGUGGCCCUAAACUCUUCGGCCCCAUAUUUUUGAAUUUUAUUGACUAGAGGCUUAUUCGUCAGAAUUAGAUUCAUAACCAGAGGCACAAAAAAAGUAGGAGGAAAAUUAGGCAGAGGCGGAGGUUGCUGAGCAGCCAGAUUCAUUCGUAAAAACUCCGUGAACCACCCAUUCAUCAUUUGGAAGAAGGCUUGUUUAGCCUCUCCCUCGUGGCUACUCGUAAUAGGUCUAGAAUCAGAUUGCACUACCUCUUGAGCAGGAGCGGGUGCAUUACUUUCCACAUCAUCUGCUACGGCUUGAUCAGGAUCCAUUUACUAUAUGAAAACACAUUUUCAAAUGUUUGGAAUCAUCAUACUAUCGCAAUAUAAGAAUAUGGCAUGUAUAGCUAGACUCACACGCACUACGUUAGUCCUAGAAUCGACUAAACCAUAGCUCUGGUACCAAUCAAAUGUAACACCCCUAGCCCGUAUCCGUCGCCGGAUUAGGGUCACGAGGCAUUACCGACCAAAACACAACUCAGAACAAUCUUUCAUUUUAAAUUAUGCACAAAUUAUAUUAAUUCAAUCACGAAAAUUUUAAACUCAAAUAGUAACUAGCAGUUAAAUCAUAUAAAUCACAUUCGCAUAUAUAGAUUACUUAACCAACUAAAAACCAAUCAUGCUUUACUACUUUUAAUACAUAAGUAAUUUAUGCUUUAAAAUUUAAACAUAUCAAUAUUAUUUACUUAAUCACCUAUUCGACCCAAUUAAUAUACAUCAUAUCAUAAUAUUUACUAUCUACUUAAUCACCUAUUCGACCUAAUUAAUAUUUACUAUAUGAAAACACAUUUUCAAAUGUUUGGAAUCAUCAUACUAUCGCAAUAUAAGAAUAUGGCAUGUAUAGCUAGACUCACACGCACUACGCUAGUCCUAGAAUCGACUAAACCAUAGCUCUGGUACCAAUCAAAUGUAACACCCCUAGCCCAUAUCCGUCGCCGGAUUAGGGUCACGAGGCAUUACCGACCAAAACACAACUCAGAACAGUCUUUCAUUUUAAAUUAUGCACAAAUUAUAUUAAUUCAAUCACGAAAAUUUUAAACUCAAAUAGUAACUAGCAGUUAAAUCAUAUAAAUCACAUUUGCACAUAUAGAUUACUUAACCAACUAAAAACCAGUCUUGCUUUACUACUUUUAAUACAUAAGCAAUUUAUUCUUUAAAAUUUAAACAUAUCAAUAUUAUUUACUUAAUCACCUAUUCGACCCAAUUAAUAUACAUCAUAUCAUAAUACAUAUACUAUAUAACUCCAAUAGCCAAACCUUAUGACCAAAGAUCAUGGCACUCUGAAAUUCAAUCAAUCAAUACUUUUAACCUAUUUAAAAGUUGUACCAAGCUAUCAUACAUUAAUAAAAUAUUGCAUGUUUUACAAACCCAUUAUUUGAACCUAUUUACUAUCAUAUCCAUACCAUUCAAAUAUUUAUAAUAUAUUCAAGCUUAUAUCAUUACAUCAUAUUUACUAAGCUUAUGUCAAAUCAUCCAUUGCAUAUAUUUAUUUCAUUAGCAAACUUUUAGCCAUGCUAUUUUAAACACUAUGCAUAUAUGCGUACUAAGUCAUAACACUCCAUAUCUUUAACUAAUUAUCAAACAUAUAAUUUUAUAAGAUAUAUAUAUGUGCGCAUAACACUCUAAAACGAAGCCAUUUCUAAAUUCAAAUACCAAAUCAUGCCUAACCCAAUUCAUUAACUAAUUUAUAAAAAUAGCAAUUUGUGUGUUAUGCAUAUGCUCACAUUUACUUAGGUUAAGCUUUUCACACACCUUAUUAGGCAUACAAAUAUAAAACAUAAGCAAGCUUCAUUAUAUAACCAAAUACAUUUGUAAACAUUACCAACCUAUGUGCAUUACACCAUAGCCAUCUUAAACAAUUUUUGAAUAUAAGCAACAAUUUUAAGUACACCGAUUCGCGUGCUAAUUAUCAUGCCCCAAAACACAUAAACACAACAAAUCAAUUAUCCCUAUAUUCGGUCAUUAAAUUUAGCAUGUAGUUAAUUACCAUUUCAAAUUGUACCCAAAUAACCAUUACACUAACAAUGAUAUACUCUUCUUUCUAUCUUCUUACCUAUUUAUUCAUGUCGAAUCAUGUCAUCAUAUAACACACAAAAUAUCCACAUAUCAUACUUCCAAAAUAUGCUACCUAUAAGACCGAAAAUGCAUACACAUCAUUUACCACCUUCAAGCCAAUUCACUAGACAAAUUGUACAUCCAAAAUAAGUUAAUAAUAAGCCACACCAAAUACCAAUUUCACAAUUUAUAGCAAAGUCAUCACAUAGCUUAUAGAUACAUGCACUACGAUUCAAAGACACAUCCAUCUACUACACAAGUUAUACCAUAAAACACAUGUCCAUAUGAGCUAAUUUGUUGGCCGAUUUUUCAUCAUACUUUUUAUUACUCAUUGCCGAAUCAUAAAACCAAACCCUUCAAGCACGUAAACCAUGAAACAUACCUCCAAAAUAAGUAUAAUUCAUAACCAAAUACACACAAGCCAUAAUAUUAUAAUAAACCCACUUUCACAUGGCUAUAUAUGUAUACAAAUUCAAAACCAAACAUAUUUAAUCUAGCCUAUACAUGUCAUAUGUUCAAAGUUUAAAACUUCAAAAGUACUGAAUGAUAGUCGAUAGUGUGAUCAUGAUCCUUGAUGAUCCCCGAGCUCGUAACUAGCUUCCAAAAUCUAUAAAACAUCAAUUGAACACAUAAUAAGCUUGGAUAGCUUAGUAAGUCAUAAGCAAAUAAAUCAUCAAAUGAACAUUAGCAUUAUAAUUUCAACUUGGCCAAAAAUAAACUAUCUCAUGUACACAUAAAUCACUCUUUUAGCAUGCAUAUUUAUAUCAUCAUCUCAAGUACUAUAAUUACCUUAUUUUCGUGAACAUUUAACUUCUCACGUACCUAAACCAUUUAGCUCGAUUUCACAUUCAAUCCAGACGUAGUCUUACAUAUAAUCAAAUAUCGAUGCCACUGUCCCAGACAAGGUUUUACACGAAGUCAUAUACGAUGCCAAUGUCCCAGACAUGGUCUUACACAUAAAUCUAGAGUCGAUGCCAACGUCCCAGACGUGGUCUUACACAAAAUCACAUACCGAAAUCAUAGGGUUCGUACGGGGAUUUUGGACGUCGUAAUUCAAUCGAUUCAUGCUCGUAACAAAUCAUUUCAUGCUAAAUUCAAUUCGGUAAUGUAGUUAUACAUACAUACAAUUCAAUUCGGCUAUGUACGAAAUAAAUUCAUACAAUUUAACAUCAUUUAUUCACUUACGGACAUACCUCGGACGGAGACGAAUGAAUGGAAUCGACAACUCGACCACUUUCGACUUCCCCCGAUCUAAUUUUGUUUUCUUUUUUUCUUGAUUUAUAUAAAUUAAAAUUUGGCUAUUUAAUAACACAUUUCAUACAAUUUAAUCCACCAACACAUAAUUAGGGCAUUUUUCACUUUAGCCCCUAAAAUUCACAUUUUUGACAUUUUAGUCCCUAUUUCAUAAAAUCACAAAAUACACAAAAUUUCAUAUUUCCCAUGCUUGGUCGAAUAUUCAUAUAGUUCAUAUAAGCCCAUAUCUUUCAUUUAUUUCACAUUUUAACCCUUCAAUUUCUCAUUUUCACAAAUUAGUCCAUACUAAGCAAAUUCAUCAAAAAUCACAAUAUAAAAUAUAUUUAUCUACCAUCAAGCUUUCAUAUUGCACCAUUUAACAUCAAAAAGCUUACAAAAUCAACAAUGGUAUAACUCAAAUUCGUCAUUAAAUUCUGAAAUUUAAGCAUGGGCUUGACAAAACACAAAGCAACGAUAUCAAAAACGUAAAAAUUAUCAAAAAUCGAACCAAUUACAUACCUCAAUAAGCAAAAUGAGUGUCGAACCUAGCUUGCUAUUUUUUUUCUUUCUCUUUCUCUUUCUUUUUCUUUUGAUUUUUAGCAAUGGGAAAGAUGAACAUGCAAAAUAAAUUUUCAUGUUUUAUUUAUUUUAUUAUCAUUUAAUAUUCAUUUACUAAAUUAACCUUAAUGAAAUAAUAUGAAAGCUUUAUAAUGGUUGCCCAUCUUUGUCCACUCAAAUAUUUAAUAGCAAAUUUAAAACAUAAGGAAUCCAUAAUUAAUUAAUCAAAGAAAUUAAGCACUUUAACAUAUAGAAAGCCACUUUUACAUUUUCUGUGAUUAAGUCCUUUUUCAUAAAUCGGCACACAAAAGAUAAAAUUUUCACAUGAAAUUUUCACACAUAUUAAUUCACAUACUGUAAACACGAAAAAUAAUAUAAAAAUAAUUUUAUAACUUUGAAUUUGUGGUUUCAAAACAACUAUUUUGAUUUAGCUAAAAUCAGGCUAUUAUAGGAUGUGUAGUGAGAAUUAGGGGAGAAGAUUAAGGGAUUUUGGGGGUUAUCGGGGUUUUAUUUUUUCUCCUAUAGCUGAAUUUUGAUUUUCUUUUCCAAAAAUAUUCUAUCGUCUAUUCUUUUCCCUUUCCUCUUGCCGAAAUUCUCUAAGUUUUCCCAUAAUUCUCUUCUUGUUCUUCUUCAUGAUUUUCCCUAAUCCAUUUAUUUUCCUUUGUUUUUGCACGCGAUUAGUGCUCGCUUAGUUUCGGUAAGUAUUUCCCUUCGUUUCUUUCAUGAAUCUCUUAGUGACUGAAGUGGUAAUGUUUUUUCUCUAUGAUUUGGGCACAGGGGGAGGCUCAGACUGGUGAAUUCAGUGUUCUCGUCUUAACAAUAGUUAAACGGAGGGUUAUCGUUGGUGGUAAGUUGGGUUUCUGUUCGUUAUUUGUUUCCAAUUCGCUUGUAAAUCCAUUAAAUUAAUGUUGAGUAUCUUGAUUUUAGGCUUUGGAGUGCUUUGGGACUGUUAUAGCUUCAAACAAAACCAGGUGUGUACCCAAAACACACACAAAAAAAAGGAUUCGGCGAAAUGCCAAAAUUUCUUGCUGUUUGGACAGUAGAAGUAGGCUAACUUUGAAAAAUAGCCAUAAAUUGUGGAUAUCGAAUUAGAGGGUGAAUAAAAUAUGGAAUUAAAGCUUAUUGAGUCUAGUUUCUCAUAGAAGAAGCGGCGUAAGUAAUGAAAUUUUAAAUCGUAAGGUAUAAUAAACUUUGUGAUGCAAGGUCAGAAUGAAUUCAGGUUCCCCUGUUCUGACUUUGGAAAAUUAUCAAAAAUUGAAGAAUAAUAAUUACGGGUUAAAAUUUUUUUGUUUAAAUUAUUAAUGAGUUUGUUUUCAAUGGAAGUAAAUGGAAACAUCAUCCAAAUUUUGUAGUAAGAGAUAAUUAAUUUUUAGCAGUGAAGGGUUGAAACUGUCACACAACAGAAGAGGGGAAAGUUUGAAGAUUUUACUGUACUUAUUGGCUAAAUCAAAAAUUCUAAAAAUUUUAUGGUAGAAAGGUAUUUGAGUCUAGUUUUAAAGACAUUAAGCAGAUCUUAAUUCAAAAUUCUGUAGCUCAAGAUAUAAAUAAUUUACUAACAAUGACUCAAGUAGAUAGCUUUGAAGGAACAUAUAAAUAAAUAGUGAAAACAUAUAUGAAUAAUUAACUAGCACGGGUUAAAUUAAAUAUGGAUCACGCGGCCAAGGCCAAUUUGGGCCGAGUGGGCCACAUAGGCGUGUGAGCCCAUUUUUCUAAAAUGUUCUGUAAGGUUGCACGGGUCGCCCAAGUCGACUGUGGACCUACUGUAGGGUCGGUAAGCUUUACUUAUACCCCUAUAUGUGUGAUCUGUCUGUAUGAUUUCUAUACCGAGAAUGACUUAUGAUAUAUGAAUGUAUGUCUAUUAAUUGCAUAAUGGCAUGACAUAUUUUGUAUGUUGCAUUGCAUCAGGGUGGGUUGAUGAUAUGUGGAGGAAGUGUCUGAAAGGCUAUUAAGCCUGUUAUCUGGCAGCUCAGCUGCAACCUUCUGAUUAUGUGCUGCAUUUCGGUACAGCAUGGUGUGUAGGGAUGGAUGGGUUGAUUUAAUCCCACAUGGUGUGUAGGGUUGGACAGAGAUAGUGUGUAGAGGCUGGUGGGUAGGAUUCUGAUUUAUUGUAUCUGCAUUCUCUUUCUGAUAUUGGCCAAGGCCCUAAUGUAUUUUUGAAACUGUAUCUGAAUGGGCUAAGGCCCAAACUGAUUCUGUGAUGGGCACAGGCCUCAAACUGUAUCUAACUGAAUUCUGUUGAAUAUCUGUAUGCAUGUUUCCUGUGGGGAUUACACAUGAAAACUCACCCUUUUUCUGUUUAAUCUGUACAGGUAAUCCCCAGACUUGACGGGUCGACGCAGCGAAGGACUCAACGGUGGCCACACGUAAAUUUUAGAUUGUUUUUCAUUAAUGCCUAAAAUUUAUUACUGAUUUAGGGUUUUUAUGUAACUUUUGGACUAUGGACUGGUUGGCUUUAAAUUUGGGACUUUAUACUGUUUUUAUGGAUUUUUUUUUUAAAAACUGCAACUUAACAAAACACGAUUUUUCUAAAAACUAAGGUUUUUGUAAAUAAAAAUGAUUUUCCCUAAAUUAAUUAGUUACAAAAGCUUCCGCUAAGAGACAAGUUUUAAAGCAAAUCAACUAGUUUUGUUUUUGAAUUUGAUAAAAGCUAACUUACUGUAAUGGUUUUUAAACUCGAUAAUCUUGUCUUCAAAUCCCAUUCCAGGUGACAUCGCCAGAUUCGGUCAUAACGUCUAGGUUGAGUUUAGAGUGUUACACAGUUAUCAGAUACAUAGCAAAUCCCAGUAAAGAACAUUGGAAAAUAGUUCAGUGGAUUUUAAGAUACUUACGAGGUACUGCUGAUGUUUGCUUACAGUUUGGAACUACUAGAGAUGGAGUCAUUAGGUAUGUUGAUGUUGAUUUUGCUAGAGAACUUGAUAAAAGAAUAUCUCUCACAGGUUAUUUCUUUACAAUUAGAGGUUGUGCAAUCAAUUGGAAAGCCACUUUGCAAACUACAGUCGCUUUGUCUAUCACUGAAGCUAAGUACAUGGCGAUUACUGAGGCUUGUAAAGAAACUAUUUGGUUGAAGGGACUCUUCAGUGAACACAAUGAAAACCUUCAAAUCAGUACAGUAUUUUGUGACAGUAAGAGUGCCAUAUUCCUUACAAAAGAUCAAAUGUUUCAUGAAAGAACAAAACACAUUAAUGUUCGGUAUCAUUUUGUUCGUGAUAUUAUUACUCGUGGUGAUAUUAUUGUGAGCAAAAUUAGUACGCAUGAAAAUCUUGCAGAUAUGAUGACUAAGUCACUUCCUAUAACCAAGUUUGAGCAUUGUUUAGACUUGGUUGGUGUUCAUUGUUGAAGUUAAACCCUUAAGGGGUUUUAUGGAAGACGUGUAAAACUUGUUCGUUGAGAAUUCGUGUCAAGGUGGAGAUUGUUAGAGUUGUGUGACCCAAAUUCUAAGAGAUUGUUUGCAAGUCAAGUUAAACAAAAUAUAUCUUCUUUCUAGAAGAUUUAGUAUUUAUGAGUAUAAAUAUAUUUAGUAUUUAUUAGCAUAAUAUAGUUGACUUUGAUUAGAAUUAGGUUUUUUAACCUAUAAAUAGUUGUAGUCGAAACUCCUCUUGUAAUCAUUCGAAUUUGACAUAAUGAAUUUUCUUCUCCUCUGCCAAUUGUUUUUACCUAAAAAGGUUUCCACGUAAAAAUUUGUGUGUUCUUUAUUUUUAUUUCUCUUUUGUUUGCGAUAUAUUGUCAUCACCGACGUUCUAUUUUUACAGGUACCUUUCUAGCUCACCACAUAUCCUGACUCAAAUAGGGGUAUAACAUAAGAAUGCAAGUGUCAAUGUAUAAUAGAGUGAACUCAUAUGUAUGUACAAGACUUGUGUAAGGGGGUUUCUUGGAUGUCACAAGGCCUUUCUACUUGUUUUUUGGUUUUACCAUUAACGGAGUGUGACUUGGUUUUGAGAGUAUAAUGGUUUAAAAAUUUAGACCCUAUUCUUUGGGGUUUCAAUGAGCUCACCAUGAAAUUUUCUCUAGGUAAAAAUAAAUAUCAGUUGAAAGGGUUGCUCGCAUGUAACGCCCAAAAAUUUUUAAUUCUUGUUUUUGUGUUUAUGUGACAUAAGUAUUUGACUGCUUCAAUGGUUAAGUGCUUUGGGUGUGUUUGUGAGGUUCCAAGUUCAAGCCAUGACUUGGGAAAAUUUUAGUAUUUUUAUAAAUAAAGCCUUAACCUGGCCUAAAGGGCUUAAGUUUAAUAGUUGGUAAUCAAAUAACAGAAUGGGUCUGCUGGUCUAGUGGUUAAGUGGAGUGUUUGAUUACAUGAGUUCUUAAGUUCGAAUCUGUGCUAGAGCGUAGGCAUUAUUUUUGCACAGUGAUGGACAAGUAUUUCGGUAGAGUAGGAUUCUAGAGUGGUUGUAGGUUAGUAGGAUUAGUCGGAGAAAAUUUAGGGAUGUGAGGUAGCUAUCAAUAUCAUCUAAAUUUCUAUUUGGUCUUUAUUUUUCACAAAUUUUGGCAUUCUCCUAUUUUCCCUAAUUUUUGUGGCGUUCUCUUCUUCUUUGCUUUGCCAAAUUUUUGCUCCCUAGUCCACCCUCUCUGUUUGAUUUUUCUACUAGCCUACUUUCCGGCCAGCAAUUGUAUACACUCAUUCUGUAAGUAUCUAACUGCCUCUAUUUUAUCGUUUCUUAGCUAGUUUCAAAAAUGAAUUGUUUUGGCUCUCUUGGUUUAGACAAAAAUCAGAAAUCAGUCGUGGCUUGACAAGCAAAGUGAGCAUUAGAAAUUUUGGUUCGUUGCUGGUAAAUGUUUAGGUUCGCUAUCGAUUUUGAUGUAGACGAUUUUUAGUUCUGAGUUUUCAUUAGUGAUCUAAGUUGGGCUCUAAUUAUUUAUUUUUAGGCCUUGAAGUGCUUGGGAGCGUAUUUGCAGCGAAACGAUACCAAGUGUGUACCUGAAACACCAAAAUAAGGGAUUCGGAAAAAAGCUGAAAUUGCUUGCUGUUUGAAUAGUAGUAGUAGGCUAACUUUAAAAAAUCACCAUAAAUUAUGGAAAACAAAUUAGAAGAUGAGAAAAAUAUGGGAUUAAAGAUAUUUGAGUCUAGUUUCUCAUAGAAGAAAUGAAUUAAGUAAAAGAAAUUCAUAUUAUGAGAUAUUUGAAUUUUAGUGAGAUAGAAUCAAAAUGAUUUUGGAAUCCCCUAUCCUAACUUUGGAAAAUUAUUAAAAAUUGUAUAAAAAUAAUUAUGGGAUAGGAUUUAUAUGUUUAAAAUAAAGAAUGAGUAUAUUUUCAAGAGAAACAAACAAGAAUAUCAUCUGAAUUCUGUACGAGAAGAUAAUUAAUUUUUAGUGAAGAAACGUCAAAACUGUCAGAAAAUAGAAUAGGGGAAACUUUAAAGAAUGAACUGUACUUAUUGGCUAAACGAAAAAUUUUAAAAAUUUUAUGGUAAGAAGAUAUGCGAGUCUAGUUUCAGGAAAAAUUUGCAAAUCUUAAUUCAUAAUUUUGUAGCUUAAGAUACAAAUAAUUUAGUAAUAAUGACUCAAGUAGAUAGCUUUGAAGGAUCAUUUAAGUAAAUAGUGGAAACACAUAUAAAUAAUUAACUAGCACAGGAUACAUUAAAAUGGAUCAUGAGGCCAAGGCCAAUUUGGGUCAUGUAGGCCACACGGGCGUGUGGGCCUACACAGGCGAACAUCAUGGGCUUGUAGGCCCAUUUUCACUGUUUUACUACUAAAGUUGCACGGGUCGCCCAAGUCGACUGUGGACCUACUGUAGGGCCGGUAAGCUUACCUAGACCUCUAAUUGAUUGAAAUGACUAUAUGAUUGAUAUGAUUAAGCUUGAUGAUGUCCCACUGAUUUGAUACUGUACGCCCUGUUUACAUGCAUGAUAUUAUAUUAUAGCAUGUCAUAUCUGUAUAAUGUUCAAAGGAAGUGUACUGAAAGGCCUCGAGCCUAAUUUACUGGCAGCAGCUGCAAACUACUAUCUAGUGAUUAUAUCCCCACAUGGAGUGUAGGGUUGGACGAAGAUGAUGUGUAGAGGCUAGAUGGGUAGGAUUUUGUUUUGUGACUGCAUAUCUAUUACUGCUACUGAUACUGUGAUAGGCUAAAACCCUACUGCAUGACUAUUUUUGUACUAAGAUGGGCUAAGGCCCAAACUGGGCUGAUACUGAUACUGAAAAGGGCUUAAGCCCAGAUUAUGAUUAUUUGUUUACUGUCUGUUCAUUUGUAUGGGGAUUACACACCGAGUUUAUGUAAACUCACCCCUUCUAUUUAAUCUGUAUAGGUAAUCCCCAGAUUUAGGCAUAUCGGUGCACCGGAGGACUCAAUGGUGGCCACAUGACUUCUUCUACACUGUUUACUACCUAUUUAUGAUUUUACUUUUAUUUGGGAGUAUUUUGCUGUAAUUAUGGCCUUUACAAAUUAUGGUUUAAAAUUUGGAUUUUAUACGGUUUUAUGAUUUAAAUCUGCUAGUGUUAGGUAAAACUCGGGUUUUCAAAUGAAAUUAAUGUUUUAUCAAAAAUACCACAAAUAAGCAAAUUGUUUAAAAGCUUCGGCAAUAAAAAUAAAAAAAUAACAUUUUGAAAUUGAAUAAUGAUUUGUAAAUGAAUAAUGUUUUGAAAACGAACGACACGAUUUGAAGUUAAAAUAAGAUAAUAAAAAAUGGUUAAAUAGAAAAGAGGAUUUAGCGACGACAUAUUUUUUCGAAAAGCACUACCAUGUAACAUCGUCAGAUUCGGCUAUAACGUCUAGACUGGGUUUGGGGUGUUACAUCGCAAGUGCAAUUUUUGUUCUUACAUGUAAGUAAUUUAGCAAAAUCUCGACUAUUCUUUGCAAGUUUGUACACUAUUAAUGACUAAAAUCCAAACUACAGAAGAGUUGGAUAUUCAUUCACUUAAGUUAUCUAGCGACCUUUCAUACUUGGUGCUGAAAUAUCACCUUGUUUUUGAACUUUCACAAGGGUUUCCACCGCUUAAUGUUCAAGAUCAUCAAAUCCAUAUAAAAUAUGAGACUCAAGUUGUAAAGCUCAGACCUUACAGGUACGCAAUGGUGCAAAAAAAAGAAAAGGAGAUUAGGAAACUUGUAGAAGAAAUGAAUGAGGAUAGAAUCAUUCAGGAAAACACUAAUAUUUCGUUUAGUUGGAGUAUUAUUUUUUGUUCAUUUUUAAGUAUAUAAGUUAUGAUAUAUUAGUUCAGUUGAUAAUAUUUAGUUACUUCAUAACUUAUUUUUUGAAAAGAGAAGGGAAAAAAUUUUGCUUCUUUUGAAGAGAUCUUAUUUUUUAUAAGUGUUUUUACUCAUAUUUCAAAUUUCAAAUUUAAAUUUGUACAAACUAUUCUUUAUUUUAUGCCCAACUAUUAUAAUACAUAUGUAAUAAAUAAGUGUUUUCCUCAUAUUAUGACACUAGUAAUUAAAGGAGACAUAUAUAAACCCUUUGCAUCACAUUUGUUCUAGUGAAAAUGAAAUAUGGGUAUUGGAGAAAACCUGUGGACUACUAAGAGCUUAACGAAUUAAUUAACGUUUAGGUUGUGUUUGGUUCACCGAGUUUUAGAUAUGUCUAGUAAUAAGAUUACGGAUGGAAUGUAAGAUUAUAUUAUUUAGUUCAUUUUGACUAGAAUGUAAGAUUCAUAUGUUUGAUUGACGAAAUAUAAUAUUACUUAAAAACAAAUUUUAUUAUAUUGCUCUUAUUAUAGAAUUUGGUCUUUACAAGUUGAAUUCCUUUAAUAUUUGUAAUCUCAUUUUUUUCAUAAAUCUAUAAUAACUUAAUAAAUUUAUUUUUAUUACACCUUGAUUUCAUCAAAUCAAUUCAAUUAAACAGCCACUCAACUUUAAAAUUACAACAACUAACCGAUCUCUUUGCUUGUUUAAAAUUACGACAAGUGACAGAUAUCUUUACUUGACAUAUCAUUUUUUAUCAUAAUUUUUUUCCCAAUUAAUAAUCACUCAUAAAAAUAGACAACAAUUAGAGACUGAAGUGAAUUGAAAUUAAAUACGAUAAGGUAACACUCUUUACCCUUAAAAUAUGUUAAAUACAACCGAUAAAAGUAAUUAUUCUAAAAGGCUUCACUCACCUCUUAAUAAUGAAACUAGAUUUUUAAAUAUUUAUCAAAAAAUCCUUCACCUUUGUAAUAUUUUGUUAAUUAAUGAGAUGGCAUAUUAUGGUGCAUUAGUUGUGCAUAGGACUCAUGCACUGAGAGUGCAUCAAAUAUAAUCUCUUAAUAUAAAUGAUAAUAAAAAUUUACUUUAACAUAGUUAUUUUACCAAUUGAGUUUUAACUCGAUUGAUAGUAUAAGAGGACGUGGGUUCGAGCAUGCUGAAGCGCAAAAAAUUAAUAUAAUAAGAAUCUCAUGAAAACAUCACAUAAUAUCUCAUAUUGUAUGUAUUCAAUCUUAAAUAAUAGCUUUUCAAAUGACCAUUUGAACGUAUUUACUAAGCAUUUAUAUCAACAUUAUUUUGAAAGUCAUGAGUGAGGAAAAUUUUGGGGGAAAUAUAUUUUGAUCUCUUCAGGAGGUUCAACAAUAAUCAUAACUAAUUUUAAUCAUGAUCCCUCUAUAAAAAUACAAAUAGGUAUUUUUGGAUCAUUUUAUAAUCCUCUUUUAACUACUAUUGAUUAAGUCAAAUUUACCACACGUGUUCAAUUAUUUCAAUUCAUAUAAAUGAACAAUUUCCCGAUAAUUUCAAUAUGCUUUUGGCAUUUAAAAUUCUUUAAGUAUUUUAAUAUAAGCUUUACUAUAUAGUGAUUCAUAAAAGAUUGUAACAACAACCAGUAGACGCAAGUUAAAUAUUUUAUGAAUUGUUAGUUUAAUAAUAUAUCUGAAGGUUAUUACAUCCACCACAAAAGAAUAUUAUAUCUUUUCAUAAUCAAUGCCAGAACAUAGCGAAAAACUUCAUAUUUUUAUCAUGAUUUUGCAAAACUACUUCAUUUGCACCCUCAUUGACUUUAUACCUUUAGAUAUUUGGAUUACUGGUCCAAAAAUCCACAAAUUAAUUGUACUUGAGUUGUAUCUUUCUAUUUGACCAAUUUAUUCCAUAUCUAUAUUUUUCAAUAGAUUUAUUCAAGAUCCUCUUUUUAUUUCAUUAUUUCAAUAAUAAUAUUGCAUGCAAAACCAUUGUCAUCCACUUUUAUUACUGGUUCCACAUUUUCUUGAACUGACAUAACUUAUCGAGAUAUGUUAUUUUCACUAUUUUAAUCUUCAGUUUCAGGUACCUGAAUCUUUUCUGGAGUUUUAGUUAUUUGUUAUGUCUUGGGUCUCUUCGAGAGUACCCACCUCCACUAUAUGACCAUUUAGAAGAAUUUUUUAAUCCUUGGAACCGAUCAAUCUAUUAUUUAUUCUAACUUAUUGUCCUACUGAGACUUUAGUUCAAAAUAUUAUAUGGUAUAUACAUAUGGUUGUUCUCACUAAGUUUGUAAAUACAUCUGACAAUUAACUUGUAAUGAGUUAUCCUUAUUGAACUUCUGGUUCCAAUUACACUCCCCCUAACUUAUUACAAGUUAUUUUAUUUCUCUCCCUCUAAUGUCGGGAAAACUAUCAAAUCAAGAUAGUAAUCACAAAUCAUGCCAUAAUUGAAUCUACAAUACAUUUGAAGCAUCUAAUAAUACAAAGAGACUUGUAAUUAAUAUAUAUUCCCAAAUUUCUUUGAGGAUUCACUCAUCUUUAUGCAUUGUGGUGGAACAAUUGGAACAUAUAUGCACAUACAAAAAUUCAAAGAUAGGAAAUAUUUAGCUCUUGAUCAAAAACCAAUUGUAAUGGGGAGUAUUUGUAACUAAUUGGCUUGAUAAAUCAACAUAAUCACAUGUUGAAAGAGGAAGUUUAGUUCUCAUAAGUUACAAUUUAGACAUUAAUCAGAGGCGUUCAAUCAAUAAUUUCUCUAAGCCAUUAUGCGCAUAAAUAACAAACUUUUACAAAAAAUUUUCAAACUCAAUCAAUAAAAUACUUAGAUAUAAACUAAUUAGUAUUAGAAAGAUGAAUUGUCUUAAUUGCAUGAUUUGAAAUUAAUUAUUUAAAUAAGCAAUCUUGCAAACGACAUGUUGCAAGUUGGUAACACAUAUGUGAUUAUUUUGUAGAUGCAUCUAUCAAAAUCAUAUAAUAUCAAAACCAUUCACAUGGUGGACAAGUGAACCCAUAUUCAUUUUAGAAAUAUAAGACAUUAAAUCUCAACUUUAACUAGUGAGUUUUUAACAAUCAAUUUUCAUUGAGAAUAAGUAACAAAUCAGAACUCUUUAAGUUAAAGAAUCUUCUGGUUCUUUAAUGAAUGUCCAUAUGAAUUAUCAAUUAAUUUUCGCAUCAUUUAUGAUCUAGGAUUGUCUAAUUGGUCACGCCAAGUAGUAAAUGUAUUUGUAUUAGUAAACUUCUGAUUUACUUUAAUAUGCGUUUCAAUUGUACUAAAUUAUAACAAAUUGGUGCUUUUACUAUCAUCCCUUUUACUUUGUGUCCACAUAUAAGUACUAUUGUGACAUUUACUACUGUAAAUAUCUAAAUCAAUGUGAAGUCUAUAAUGUCGCUAUGUCAAUAAAUAUAAUUUCAAAAUAAUUAUAUGCAAUAUUCACUUCAGGAAGUAUGUCAAAAUCUUCAAAUGCAGGACAUUUGGUCUAGUGGUAUGAUUCUUGCUUCGGAUGCGAUAAGUCCCGAAUUUGAUUCAAAAUACUUUUAAAACCCUUUUAAAAAGAGUUUUGCAUAGUCAGUUAACUACCAAGAAUAAUUGCCUAGGUCAUGUAUAGAAACAAACAUAUAUUAAAUAUAUCAAUAAACGUCACAUAUCAAAUAUAAAAAUAUAUAUGACAUAAUGAAAAACUAACAAUUUUUUUCAUAAUCAUCAUCAUAAACAUGCAUGAAAUUUAAUUCAAAAUACAACCAUUCAAGCUCAUAGAACUUUUCAUUUACAAUUGCUCAUGUCAUUUAUCUAAAUAAUUAACAAAUGGAAUAAUAUAAAACGUAUGAACUACUACUUUUAAUUAUUCUUUGAACUAAAUCAAAUUCGAAUAACCAUAAAAUUCAUUGGUUUAUUAACACAAAUUUACAUACUAGAUAUGUUUUAACCAAAUAUAUUAUUUAAUUAUAAAACCUACUAUAGCAACAUAAAUUAGUUAAUAUUCAUUUUCAUGAACAAAUGAGAUGCUAAAAAUAAUAUGUAACCUGUCGAAACCAUUUUUUUGAAAAAUAAAAAUUUUAGGUGUCAACUUUAAAAAAAAAUAAAUGGGAGUCGCCACCAAUCUUUUAUUGAGGUGUGAUUGGAUCACCUAAAAAAAUGACUUUGGUCUACGAGUUUUAGAAAAACGGAUCCGGGAGUCAGUUACGUACGAGGAAGGAUUAGCACCCUCGUAACGCCCAAAAUUAGUACCUAGUUAAUUAAUUAGUGUCUUAAGGUCGAGGAUUUUGAAAAAAUGUGAUCCUUAGCAAAACUUAAAAGGUUACGUAUUAAGACCCUUAUUAUUUCAGAGAAAGAAGAUACCACACCCAAUGCGUUAGGGCACAGCAUUCUAAUUUUCCCCAAAAUGAAUUGGGCCAAAAUACUUGUACAAUAAAACUUUAAAAGAACAUCCACUUAUCCAAGAUUUAAGAAAUCACACCCAAUACGUUAGGGCACGAUUCCUUUAGAAUCCCAAACUUGGAAUAUUUCCUUUACUUUAAAAGAACAUCCACUUAUCCAAGAUUUAAGAAAUCACACCCAAUACGUUAGGGCACAAUUCCUUUAGAAUCCCAAACUCGGAAUAUUUCCUUUAUUAUUUUUAAAAAAAAUCUUCAUUUCAAGAAAUCAAUACGUCACAUACAAUACGUUAGGACACAACGUGUUGAAUUCCCAAUAAUGAGUUUUUAUUUUUUUGAUUAAAGAGAAAUGCUCGAUUGUUAGAUUUAACGAAGAAAAUCAGAACCCAAUACGUUAGGGCUCAAUUUCCUUGAAAAUCCUAAAUACGAACAUUAUCUCAAAAAAAAAUUCUAUUUUAAAAUUUGAGUAAAAAAAUGAUGUAACAUUAUUUUAUACGUACAAAUGCUAUAAUAAUAAUAACAACAAUAAUAAAUACAUCAAUGACAUAAAAAUAAUAUAAACAAAUGAAUAAACGAAAUAAAAAAACAGUAAUCCAUGGCAUGCAAAAUAUUAAAUGUAAACACAAUUAUACAAUGAAUGGGAAAGCAAACAAAAUAAAUAAAGAUCAGAAGACGUAUAAUAUACACAUGAAAAUUAUGAAGAUAAAAAAUAUACAUAUAAUUUACAAAUAAAAUUUUGGGUUAUAGAAUUUAUAUAUAAAUAUAAUACAUAAUAUACUUAUGCAAAUAAAGAAAAAAUAUAAUUAUACGUACAUAUAUAAAAUAAUAAAAAAUAGGUAUAUUUUAAAAAAGAAAAAUUGAGUAUUUAAUCAUUUAAAAAAACGUAAAUAUAUACAUAUAAAUAUGAAAAUAUUUAUUAAAAAAUAUAGGAAAAUAUUAGUUUAAAAAAAUAUUAGCUGAAAAAAUAAGUAUGUUCAUAAAAAUAUACAUAUAUAGAUUUUUAAAAAAAUGAAAAUAAAAAUAAUAAUUACUAUCAAUUAAUAAAAUAAAUAAAAAGAACAUAAAAAAACUAAAUUGAAUUGCAAUUAAAAAAUUUGGGGUAAAUCCGCAAAUAAAUAAAAGUAAAAUGACUAAUUUGAACGCGCGAAUUACGUAGAGGGGCUGGAAGGAAAAUUUUCCCUUCUCCUCUAAAAUGGCGCCGUUCAAAUGGAUCAAAUUGGAAUUUAAAAUAAAUAAAAGGGUAAAUUAAAAAAAACUUAAUUACAAAAACAUUAAAAGGCGGAGGGGCUAAAUAAAAAUAAAUAAAAUUCGCAGUGGUGUCACCUUCUCCUUUUUUUUUAAAUCGUAAAUAAAUAAAAAAUAAUCGAACGAAAAAUAGUAAACCACCUUUAAAAACUGCCAAUCGUUCCCUUUUUUUAUUCCUCCUUUUUCUUUCUUUACAAUGGAGGGAGAGGCCUCUAUUUAUAGCUGAGCCUCCCCAAAUCCUACGGUACAAAUCAGUUACAUCAACGGCUGAGAUUAAAUGGUAUCUACAAAUUAAAUCUCUAAGAUUACAAAAUCAUAUAUUCUAAGAUUGCAUAUCAUAUCUAAGAUUAUAUAUAUCAUAUCUUGGAUUGCAUAUCAUAUUUAAGAUUGCACAUCCUCAAAAAUUAUGUUUCCAUAUGUGAGCCCGGGCUAAAAUUUGGUAUUACAGCUGCCCCUCUUUGCUCGUUCUUGUGUAACAGGGACGAAGCAAAGACUUUAAAAAUGCCCGAUUUUGUCCGGUCGUGCUGAACCUUGGUACAUCUUCAGAAGUAUAGGAAUUAGUGCCAUCUUCAGUCUGCCUCACUGCAACUUCAGGAGGAUAAGACUUGCUUAUUUAGUCUGCUCCACUGCAACUUCAGGGAGAUAAGACUUGCCAAUUUUAGUCUGCUCCACUGCAACUUCAGGAAGAUAAGACUUGCCAAUUUCAGUUUGCCCCACUGCAACUUCAGGAGGAUAAGACUUGCUUACUUAGUCUGCUCCACUGCAACUUCAGGGAGAUAAGACUAGAUGCGAUCUGCUCUCUGCAACUUCAGAGAGAUAAGAUCUGAGGUUUUAAUCCACUCCACUGCAACUUCAGGGAGAUAGAACUAUCGACUUUAAUCUGCUCCAUUGCUAUUUCAGGGAGAUAAGACUUGCCAUCUUCGAUUUGCUCCGCUUGAUGCAAGAAGGCAAGAUCUGCUAUUUUCACUGAUCUGUUCUCUGGGGAACAUGACCUGUAUAGUGAACCUAAUUAUGCCUAAUGAUUAGGAUGGCAUGAUCAAAAUGCAUCAAAUGCUCAUAACUAGACAUGUGUGAAUGGUGUUUGUAUGAAUGCAAAAUUUAUUUUUCCGAGAAUAAUCCCGCUUAGGUUGUCAUUACUCGAAGUUUAUUAAGGCUUUGUGACUGACGUGCUACAACGCCCUCUUGCUUGACUGGCUUUUCUGAAGAAACAUUUAGCCAGGCUGCCCCCCACUGUGAACUUUAAAGUUCAAUCCACUGGGACGCCAAAAUUCGUAACAUUUUCUCCCACUGUAACCCAAGGGUAGAAAUAUAUGGCUUUUCCUCAAUCCUCUCCUUUCACAAUUCAAGGAUACAAGAUCUAAAUUUUUCUGGUCUCUUACACCAUUCCCAGGGUAUCGUACCAAAGGCUCAUGCGCAAAUGAAGGCUCUCUUCUCUGAGGUAACCUCUUCCUAUUGUCUAGUGACCAUUACUUGCUUGUUCAUUUUAAGCUUUGUCACCAAACUGACAUCUUGUUAUGUUAUUCAAUCAAUGUUUUUGACAACAAAAUCCAAAGAGAAAGUCUUAAUUUGGACUCUUCCUUCUCAAAUUUCCAGGCUUUAAACUUGGUGCUUUCUAAACAAUAGUCCUAUUUCAGGUUCCUGUAUUAUUUAGAAACUUCUAGAGUAAUAUGCAAAACCUCCCUUGUGAAAGUUUUAUUAGUCUAUUAAUCAUUAUUCCAAUGCAACAUGCUUGCAAAAAGGUCAUAAGAAUAAAGUUAGUUCUGAGCAUAGCUCGAAAGGAAUGAAUUAUCAAAAAUAGUAAAGAAGAAUAACAAAGAAAUUGAUUGGGAAUGUGUAUCUUGGAAAAGAAUGAAGUAUUCCAAGAACAACAAAUUCAACAUAAAUAGUAUGAAAAUUGGGUGCCCCAGAUAUCGCAGCUUGAACUUCUCUGCACAAACUUUCUGAAGACCAUUCUGAGUUUGUCAUGUGCUUAGGAGAUCUACAGCACUCUGUUGAUACCCCAAGAUGUCGCAUACCCUUUCCUGUUGAUUCAGGUAUAGCAAGACCACUGUCUAUCCUAUUUUGAUCAGUAAUUUGAGCUACUCUGAUUACCUCAUACCCCAUUCUAAUCAAUAUUUGAGCCACCAUUUUCGGGUUUUCAACUCAAAUCCACCUUUGGUCUAAGGCGCCCUUUGCGGGUUUUCACCUUAGCCUCUCCAUUUUAUUUCCACUUUUUAAUUUUUUUCAUUUCGUCAUUUUUCAUCAUCAUUUUUUUUGACUCAAAGUGCCCUUUGCGGGUUUCUUACCUUGGUCAUCUCCUUCCUUAAGCGAAGUAUUUCCUGACUGAAUCUGAGUUUAACAGGACUUUGCAGGUUUAUCAUCCAUCUCGCUCAAAAUCAAAGCUCAUUUGAAAAAAAACCUUCUCUAUAACAUAAGGUUCUUCCCAAUCCAUUUCCCUCCAAAAUAUUUUUUGUAGAGGGAGGAUCUUCAACAUUAGGUCACCCUCAUGGAAUUCUUUGGGAUGAACCUUUUGUUAGCUCGCAUCAUUUUCUUCUAGCGUAUUUGACUAUGAUGGAUAACUUUGAAUAUUCCUCUUCAAUCAGAAUUGGAUCCAAAAAAAACUCAAAAAGAAAGAAUCUUAUCUUUAAUAGGAAAAAAACCGCGAUAGGCCCAAGAGAAAAGGCAAAGCCCUGACAGAGACAAGCCCUGGUCACCCCUUUCGACCAGAAUCAAUGUCAUUCCAGAUAAGGUAUUUCACAUAAAAAUCUUCCACUUUCAUUUUGUAUGCAAACGAUUUUCUUUGGUAUCAGGUUUCUCUCGUAGGGCCUUUUGGGGAAAAAUUUAACUAUGACGAAAAAACUUUAAAUCUUCCUCUUCAAUACGAAGAAAUGGCGACUUGACUUUAACUGGCAAAACUAUGAUGAGCCAAAGAAGAAGGCAUUGCCCCAACAAAGAAUUCUAACUACAUUGUUCAUGUUAUUUAUCUUGAACAUACUACAAAUUUUUGAUGUCGUACUGCUGUUCAUAUUACAAUGACAAUGCUUAACCUGGGCAUAUCCUGGUAUGGCUAUGUGAGGACAUCUUUGAACUCUUGAGGUAACUCAACAAGAUCUUGUUUUGUUUCUUCGGUUAUGCACAUUCCCUUAAGGUCACAAUCUCCACUGUCUCCUCAGGAAGUAAAAUUUCCUUCCUGCUCUACCAUCCUCAACAAGUCCGGAGAUAGGCUACAAUCUAUGUCAUUUUCAAAGUCAUGAGAUCCCCCUAAACACAUGCCUCGCUCAAAAAGAAAAUCCUGAGUCUGUCGCAGCGUCACUCACGUCAUUGAUAUCUGGGAACCCAUAGUUAGUGCAAAAGAAUAUACAAAAGAGUGUGUGAAUUUAUGAAUGAUUAUCUGUACAAUAAUUAUGAAUGAAAGAAUGAUGUGGAAGAAAAUCCAAAAGAAUGAAAGAAUAAUUACUUGCAAGAAUAUUUGAAAAAAUAAAUGCCAAGAUGUAUUUUAUUAGAAUAAUGAUGUUCAAACAUGAGCCUAUUUCACAAAGGAAUUUCUAUCAUUUUUAGGCUAAAAACAACAAAAAUGUUCUGAACAUUACUCAAAAUAAGCUCUAAAAACUACAGAGAUUUUUUUGCAGUCCAAUUAUUUAGAAACCUUCAAGUUGAUAAGGUCUAAUAUCUAAUAAGGACUCUUCUCAGUUGUCUUCAUGUACGGCAUUGAUGUGAACGUUUCUUAACCCUUCUUCAUACAUUGCAUUCACCUCAUCAUCGAUAUGAUUGGGUAGCAGAUUUUCUGCAUUGGAUGAACCAUCAAACUUGACAACGCCUAUAUUGAUGAGUCUUUCAACUAGCUUUUUGAAGGCAAUGCAAUUCUCUACAGAGUGCCCCAUAAUUCCAGCAUGAUAAUCACAUUGCGCGUUUGUAUCAUACCAUUUAGGGUACGGAGGUUGUAGGGGUUUUGAGUAGAAAGGUGCAACAAUGUGCGCAUCGAAUAAGCUUUGAUACAGCUCCUUGUACGACAUUGGAAUUGGCAUGAACUGGAGUUUUUUAGUACCUGGCUUCACAUAUGAUUCUUGCUUUAAAGGACCCUGAUGGCUGGUGAUUUCUGUCUUUAGCCGGCUCACAGCGAUUGGUCUUAAGUGGCCCUUGUUAUAUCUACCUUCAUUUUUCCCCUUAUUCCCUUUCUUCCUUGAGGCUUUUAUAGUAUCUGGGUGCUCUACCUUCGCCUGUUUUAUUUUUGAUGAAUUGUCAAGAGCAACAGGAUUGGAUUUUGGGUCUAUCAGGCGAUAUACUGGUGUCGAUGUACCAGUCAGAUAUUGUCAGGAUCUUGUAGUAAAGAGUGCCUCUUGUGGACAAGUGUCUGGUUGGUCCUGGACACUUAUCAAGGUAAAAUCUGGGGAAUAUAUAGGAUCCUCAUUAUCAUCCCCAAAGUGAGCCGCUGGGCUUUUCCCUUUACCCAAUAACUGGGUUAGCUGGCUCAUAUUUAUUUGGAAUUCUAGCAUCUAAUUCCUCAUUUCUUGUUGAAAUUCAGUCAAUUGCUCUUGCAUCUAAAUUUGCAUUUGCUCUAUUCUCUCCAAUCUUCGGUCCAUGCCUCCUGACUUUGCUCGGGUACUAUAACAGUGUUCGGUUGAUUGGUUGAUUUUCGGAUUAACUGAGGAGUGACUUAAAUUAAUUAGAAUCUUUCAAUGUUUUAUAUGAAGUAAUGCAAUACAUGAAUGCAAAAAAGAAGUCAAUUUUGAUUCAAUUCCAUAUAAGAAAACCUUACUAGAAAUCAAAUUUCUUUACAUAAAGCGAAUUACAAAUAAGACUUUACCCUAGUACCCAGAACUCUAAUCUUUCUAAGUAAUAAAGUUAAUUCUUGCCCCCGAUCCGACUCUAAUUCAUACUUCACACUCAGCGUGUCAGCCUGUACUGCUAAAGUCUGUACAUGAUCAGCUACUUCUCGAAUCUAGACCACAGCUUCCUCGAUAAGAUGAUCUCUUUUUCUAACUUGACUCUGAAAGUGGUGAAGCUGUUCAUUACUACGAAUUUUGUUUGCUUUCAAGUGCUUGAUCUGAAUCUCACAAUUUUGCAGCACCGUUUCUAGCUCUUCGAUUCUUUUCUUCAUUUUGUCAAUCUUGCUCAAGCUUGCUUUCAACUCUAUCGUAAAGUUUCGGCUUCGAUACUAAUGAAGAGAUCUUUCCAACAUAAUCACCCUAUCCUUUAGUUCGCAUUUUUCCCUUUGGCUUUCUGACAAACUCUUUUCUAAAACUUCAUUUCGUCUCUGCAUUUCCUUAUAUUUUUGUUCCCAUCCAUCGGCUUUGUCCUUUUCUUCUUGGAUUUCUGCUCGCCAUUGUUCUGAAGUCUUUCCCAGCCCAGCAGUUCUCAUUGACAAACGCAUUUUUUAUAAUCCGUCUUCAGACUGCCCAGUUCCUCAUCAGCCUUGUUUUUCCUUUUCUUCAACCUAUCAUUCUCAAGCUUCUGAACGUCUAUGUCCAAUCUCAAGUUCGUCUUUUCCGCCUCCAUUUGCUCUAUCCUUUUCUCCAAAUCUGCGUUUUUCCUCUUAAAAUCUUGUCUUACAAUUUCUAAUUCCGAAGGGAUGACUCGCAAAUGCUCUUCUAUUGACUGGCCGUCCUCAUGAUUUAACUUAGGUGUGUUAUCAUUAAUCCUCCUGGCCCACCAUCCAUAAUACUCAGGAGUUGUCAUUGGCCCCACAGCUAACCUUUUCAUUCGGCGAGUCUGUUUCCACGCACUAGACGUCUCUUGAAUCUUCUUCCUAUAACCAUCAUCCUAGUAUGAAAAUUCACAAUCAGCUAUCCCUUGGGUUGCAAGUAUAAACUGCCUUGACUUAUAUUGCCUUAACACCAAUAAUGGGGCAUAUCCGACAGCUCCCCAAAUAUCCAAUAAAGGUACCCAAUCGAAAUUACCACACCUAUAUAAGAUCUCAUCUGGAAGUAACCAAGGAGCUCUCCACUCGACGUCUUCCUCUUGAAGAUUUUGAAGAAUUGCUAUCCACUUCUCCUUCGAAAUGUCACCUCUCUUGGGCGUAGCGACUAUUUCCUUUAGUGGUGAAUAAUUUUCAGAGAAAACCCGAUAUGAAACCUUAUCCACCUUCCAAAAAUGACUGUGAAACCACGCGAGUAGAAGCUGUGCACAUCCAAUAAACCUACCUUCACCCGUCUUCCGACAUGCACUCAAUGACCUGAAAGUCUCUAUCAAAAUUGUUGGAAUCGGUGUAACUUUCUUAUCGAGCCGGUGAAUAAAUCAGUGACUGUUUCAUCCACAUACCCCAAGGCUUUAGGGAAGACAACCAAGCUGUAUAUACUUAAGGCAAAAACAUCUAACCUUUUCUUGAAAUCUGGGUGUGUGAGAAUUGCAUCUUUCAAGCCUCUCCAAGGAACGCACUUACUGUCCCCCUUUUGCUUAAUUCGUGCGACAACCCACUACUCACUCAUUCCUGUUACACUCAUCAGCUUCUUGGAAAAGGUUGGCACAUUUAUCGCUCUCGAAUAGACCCUGUCCACUUGAAACUUUGAACAACGGAGUAAAGCCAUAUACUCCUCUAUCGUAGGCACUAAAUCGACCUUCCCGAACGUAAAGCAGCUGUAAGCAGGAUUCUAGAAUUGGGCGAGGGCUUGAAACAAAUGCUUGUCUACCUUCACAUCUAGCAAAUAAGGCAGAUCCCCAUAAUUAUCAUAAAAGAGCUGUCUAACCUCAUCACUCCACUGACCCCAGAUUUCCUUCAAUUCUUGCAAAUUGUUUUGAGUUGCACUGAUAUGCGUAAAGUCCCAUAACUCCGAUACAUGCCCAUCAGCCAAACUAUCACCCUUUUCUUGCUGUGUUGUUUCAGACCAAGUUUGGACAGCCGCAUUGUCCUCCACUUUAUCAAGAAACCCUUUUUCCAUGUUAAGCUUUCUAUCUAGCAACCGAAUAUGAACUGACGCCUUUUAUGAUGAAAUGAAAUGCCAUGUCAUGCAAAUAAAACACCAAAAGUCAGUAUAACAUAGAAACAUAAGAUAUAAUCAAGAAAUAGUAAAGAUCCCUAAUUGGAUAUCUACUAGGGUUUAGUAUAGUUCUACCUAGGGUGGAUUCUUAAGGUUCAUUAUAUGAAGUUUGGCUUCUAGAGUAAAGGUACCUGAACCAGCAGAUUCCUCAGUCCUCACCCAUUAUAGGCUCAUAUGGAUCGAGUUCGGUUCAGGGGAAUACAUUUCCCUAUGGCUGCACGGAGAUGAAAAUCUCAUGAAGACAUAGGUACGGAUAUAUCCCGGAAGCAAUCCACUACCCUACACGGAGAUAAAAACCUCACGAAGGCAUAGCUUCUCACUCCCACUUAAAAGGGCCAAAAUUGUUCAACUCAUGAAAUGCAUAAUGCAAACAAUAUUUAAACAAGAAGGUAAGGAAUGAAAAAUGAUGUUAUGAGUUUUUUUUAAAAAAAAAUAUUUUCUCGACCAUAAGACAAAAGUUAAUUAACUUUGUGGCUCGACUCUCUUAUUUUUUCAAAAAAAGUCCCCAGUGGAGUCGCCAACCAGUCGAAACCAUUUUUUUGAAAAAUAAAAAUUUUAGGUGUCAACUUUAAAAAACAAAAUAAAUAGGAGUCGCCACCAAUCUUUUAUUGAGGUGUGAUUGGAUCACCUAAAAAACGACUUUGGUCUACGAGUUUUAGAAAAACGGAUCUGGGAGUCAGUUACGUACGAGGAAGGAUUAGCACCCUCGUAACGCCCAAAAUUGGUACCUAGUUAAUUAAUUAGUGUCUUAAGGUCGAGAAUUUGGAAAAAAAACGUGAUCCUUAGCAAAACUUAAAAGGUUACGUAUUAAGACCCUUAUUAUUUCAGAGAAAGAAGAUACCACACCCAAUGCAUUAGGGCACAGCAUUCUAAUUUUCCCCAAAAUGAAUUGGGCCAAAAUACUUGUACAAUAAAACUUUAAAAGAACAUCCACUUAUCCAAGAUUUAAGAAAUCACACCCAAUACGUUAGGGCACGAUUCCUUUAGAAUCCCAAACUUGGAAUAUUUCCUUUACUUUAAAAGAACAUCCACUUAUCCAAGAUUUAAGAAAUCACACCCAAUACGUUAGGGCACAAUUCCUUUAAAAUCCCAAACUCAGAAUAUUUCCUUUAUUAUUUUUAAAAAAAAUCUUCAUUUCGAGAAAUCAAUGCGUCACAUCCAAUACGUUAGGACACAACGUGUUGAAUUCCCAAUAAUGAGUUUUUAUUUUUUUUGAUUAAAGAGAAAUGCUUGAUUGUUAGAUUUAACGAAGAAAAUCGGAACCCAAUACGUUAGGGCUCAAUUUCCUUGAAAAUCCUAAAUACGAACAUUAUCUCAAAAAAAUUCUAAUUUAAAAUUUGAGUAAAAAAUGAUGUAACGUUAUUUUAUACGUACAAAUGCUAUAAUAAUAACAACAAUAAUAAAUACAUCAAUGACAUAAAAAUAAUAUAAACAAAUGAAUAAACGAAAUAAAAAAACAGUAAUCCAUGACAUGCAAAAUAUUAAAUGUAAACACAAUUAUACAAUGAAUGGGAAAGCAAACAAAAUAAAUAAAGAUCAGAAGACGUAUAAUAUACACAUGGAAAUUAUGAAGAUAAAAAAUAUACAUAUAAUUUACAAAUAAAAUUUUGGGUUAUAAAAUUUAUAUAUAAAUAUAAUACAUAAUAUACUUAUGCAAAUAAAGAAAAAAAUAUAAUUAUACGUACAUAUAUAAAAUAAUUAAAAAAUAGGUAUAUUUUAAAAAAGAAAAAGUGAGUAUUUAAUCAUUUAAAAAAAACGUAAAUAUAUACAUAUAAAUAUGAAAAUAUUUAUUAAAAAAUAUAGGAAAAUAUUAGUUUAAAAAAAAUAUUAGCUGAAAAAAUAAGUAUGUUCAUAAAAAUAUACAUAUAUAGAUUUUUAAAAAAUGAAAAUAAAAAUAAUAAUUACACUAUCAAUUAAUAAAAUAAAUAAAAAGAACAUAAAAAAACUAAAUUGAAUUGCAAUUAAAAAAUCUGGGGUAAAUCCGCAAAUAAAUAAAAGUAAAAGGACUAAUUUGAAUGCGCGAAUUACGUAGAGGAGCUGGAAGGAAAAUUUCUCCUUCUCCUCUAAAACGGCGCCGUUCAAAUGGAUCAAAUUGGAAUUUAAAAUAAAUAAAAGGGUAAAUUAAAAAAAUAAAAAAAAACUUAAUUACAAAAACAUUAAAAGGUGGAGGGGCUAAAUAAAAAUAAAUAAAAUUCGCAGUGGUGUCACCUUCUCCUUUUUUUUUAAAUCGUAAAUAAAUAAAAAAUAAUCGAACGAAAAAUAGUAAACCACCUUUAAAAACUGUCAAUCGUUCUUUUUUUUUAUUCCUCUUUUUUCUUUCUUUACAAUGAAGGGAGAGGCCUCUAUUUAUAUGAAAUAUAAAUAUAAUCUUUUCUUCCAAAUAUGAUAUCCAUUAUAAUGAAUAUCUUUUAAAACUAAUGCAUUAACCAUCACAAAUUUUGUGCUUUUUAGAUAUUGAUAUAUUAGCUCUUCUGAAGCUUUCAACUAAUUUUGUACUAUCAAAUAUUGGAAUAAUAUUUGUUUGUUUCAGUACCAAAUAAGAUAAAUAUUUUCUAUCUGUAAUGAUAGAAUUCAUUACCAUAUUCCUCAAAGAAUAUUAACAAUAACAAAAUAUUUGGGCAUACACCACAUAUGUGGCCAAUAAUUUUCAUAUCACAUUGAUAAUAUAAGUUAUCUUUAUCCUUUGAAGAGUUAUCUUAAGAACUAUCAUUGUUCUCUUAUUUAUUACUAUGUUCCCCCUUUUAGUGAUCCAUGAUUAUAUCUUUUAUUUUCUUUAUGUUUGCAUUCACUUCAGGGAAUGCAACAAGUCUAGUAGGACAAACUUCUAAAUGCCUCUAUUGAUUCUUUAUUUCAUAAUCACCGUCGUAAACAUAAGUAGAUUUCAAAUCAAAAUCUAUCUAUUCAUGUUUGUCAUGAUUAGUCUCCAAUUUUAAUAAACAUGAUAUAAUAAAAAAUCAUAGUAAAAUAUACUUGAAGAUCUUUAACACCAUCAUCGUCACUUUGGCUAUUAUCACUAGCACUAUUACAAGUACUAAAAUAACUAUGCUUUCAUAAGAACAUACUACAUAUAAGUUAUAGACUCUUAUGAUGCUCUAAUAAAUUAUUUGUACUUUAUAAUUCAAUCUAAAAGUUAUAAUCCAAUCAUUCAUCAAUAAAAAAAAAAAAUUCUCUUUAAAGGGGACCAAUAUCACAAAAACUUAUAUUUUGCUCGACAAUUAAUAUAUAUUUAAAAAUUAUUUAAAAAUAAUACAUUAUAAAGUUUUAUUAGUAAACCUUAUGAACCCAUAGAUAUUCAAUAAUAUAACUUAAUAAUUUGAUCGGACUUAAAACAAAUAAAAUAAUAAUAAUCAUACCUCAAAAAAAAAUUGAAGCUCCUUACCAAUUUAAACUGUGCUCUAUAAAUCCAAAAUUCAUACUGAGAUCAAAUUUUUUUUUUACCAUCCAAAGCAACAAACUACAAUGUUCACCUUGGUGUUGAGUCUCUUAGUGUAUACUCAAACCUUUCAUUCGGAGUAAUACUCUUUUACCAACUUUAAUAAGAAGUAAAAUAAAUUAAUUAAAAUAAUCUCAAGUUAAUUUAACUUAAUUAAUCUAGAUAUAAAAUAUUAAAUAGAUAAAAUCUUCCUACAAAGAGUUACAAACAGCAGUGGCGAAAGGCAGCAAGUAAAGGGGCAAUAAAUAGUCAUUUGAAGAAGCAAAUGAGCCAACGAAACAGAAAAAUAAGAGUGAUUUUAGUGGUCGAAGGCUGAAUUUUGGUAUUAUGGAUGAGGCUUAAUGGUUCGCAAAGUUGUCGUUGAUUUAAUCCACAGUUAAGAUAAUUAAAAAAGAAUCAUGCUGAUAAAAUGUUAUAAAAUAAAAAACAGAAAAUAAAGAACAAAGAGAAUGUAAGAGUAAAGAGAGAACGUAUUUUUAUUGAUCAAUCAAUAUAUUUACAAAGCUUCUCCAAAGUUUUUAUUUAUAGGCCUAAGAAAUAUAAAUGAAGUAGUCAAAACUUAUCUUGAUCUUGAUGGACAAUCACUUAAUAAGAUAUUCAUAACACAUAAUUAUUUUUAAAUUAAAAAUUUUAUUAAACAAUUUAAUUUCAAAUUAUGAUAACAUCGGUAAAUGUUAAGAAAUAUUACAUAAAUAUUAUUCUAACUAUUGAACAGAUGAUGGUGGGUGGUAAGGAAUAGGAAUAAGGCGCAAAUCUCUUUUUCUUCCUGCAGUAGCACCAAAGAUCUCAGUCAUAUCCAGAUCCUCAUUCUUCAUACCAUUAGGGAGCUUCCAAUCAAAAUGAUAAAGUAAUUGUGCAAGGGAAAGCUCAACCACAGCCAUACCAUAUGACAUGCCAGGACAUAUCCUCCUUCCAGCACCAAAUGGAAUAAACUCGAAGUUGGUCCCCUUAUAGUCAACUGAACUAUCUAUGAAUCUCUCUGGAUAGAACCUCUCGGCCUCAUUCCAAUAGUUGGAAUCUCUUCCAAUGGCCCAUGCAUUAACAAUCACUUUGGUCUUGGCUGGUAUCGCAUAUCCAUUAAUUUCACAUCUCUCCCUACUUUCUCUUGGAAGUAGCAAAGGUACAGGAGGGUGUAACCUUAGAGUUUCCUUCAUAACUAACUUCAAGUACUUCAAUUCAUGAAGGUCUGCUUCGUUGACAUCCCCUGUUAUAUCAUAGACUUGCCUCACCUCGGCUUGUGCUUUUUCAAGGAUUCUAGGAUUUUUUAUCAUUUCCGACAUUGCCCAUUCUACUGCAGUUGAAGAUGUCUCAGUUCCAG
This 83201-nucleotide long non-coding RNA is filed under the name Gossypium barbadense (sea-island cotton). RNAcentral's name for it is "long non-coding RNA (GBAR_LNC013295)". The stretch from base 28724 to 28868 matches the Rfam family "MIR7502 microRNA precursor family". Lineage: Eukaryota; Viridiplantae; Streptophyta; Magnoliopsida; Malvales; Malvaceae. The record is from RNAcentral.